RNAcentral lists this long non-coding RNA (60026 nucleotides) under Arabidopsis lyrata. RNAcentral describes it as "long non-coding RNA (ALYR_LNC001956)". The stretch from base 47258 to 47364 matches the Rfam family "Plant small nucleolar RNA R71". Lineage: Eukaryota; Viridiplantae; Streptophyta; Magnoliopsida; Brassicales; Brassicaceae. The record is from RNAcentral.
GUACAAUUAAGAGAUAAUAUGAAAACUGAUACAAAUAGUAUAACUGUGAGAUAAUUGGACAACUGGUACAAAUGGUAUUACUAAAAGAUAAUAGUACAAUUGAUACAAUUGGUAUAACUGACAUAUAAAUAGGUACAACUGGUACAAAUAGUUAGGUACAAUGGUACAAAUAGUUAGGUACAACUGGUACAAAUAAGUAGGUACAACUGAAACGAAGCAAUUGUAAUUCUAAACCCUAGCGCCGUCACACUUACUAAUUCGCCUCUUCUUGCUUUCUUCAUCGUCGUCGUCGCCGAUUAUCCGCCGUCAACCUUCUUUGUCGAAGUUUGUGAACCGUUUUUCUCACCAAACGAUUGCGCACUUCAAAGGACGAAAGCACGGGGAGAUAUCCAUGGAGAAGAAACAUGAAGAGAGAUCCAUGAUUAGUGAAUCUAAGAAAUCCAUGGAGAAGAAACAUGAAGAAAGAUUCAAUCUAUGAAGAAACGCAAAGAGAGAUCUAUGGAGAAGAUAGAUCUAAAGUUUCAUUGAUGAUGAUGAUGAUGGAGAAGAAGAGAUAUAAAGUGAAAGAUCCAAAAAAAAAAUCUAGAAAAAAUGAAAGAAGAAGAAGAAGAAGAAGCGUGAAAGAAGAAGAGGAGUGAAAAAAGAAGAAGCGUGAAAGAAGAAGAGGAGUGAGUGGCGGGGAUACGUAAUUAUCAAAUUAGGGUAAGGGUUUUUGGUCCUUUUGUCUUUAUUUGAUUUAAAUUCUUUUAUUUUUAUUAUUCUAAAAAAUUGGGUGGCUUUCUAGCCUUUUUGUUUCCAUAUAGUGGCAUUCUAGGCAUUGUUUCAAAUCAAAACGCUUCGUUUUACAAACUAAUACGGCGUCGUUUAUAGUCGGAAUCUUUUUGACGGCCCACUUUCUUCUGCUCUUUUUGUUUCUCGAAAUUUCGUGGCCAAAAAAUCCAGAUUUUAGUGUUUAGCCGACGCGAGAGAAAUCCGAUUUGGUAAAAUGUCGUGUACGCAUGAUCACAACUGCGAAGAUCAUGAGUGUUCUUCCGAUUGGUCUCUCUACAAACACAUUGAUCUCUCCAAGGUCUCUCUCUCUCUUUUCUACAAUCACUUACCUCUUCGCUUUUAUUGCUCAAAUAACGACUAAAAUCUUCAAAUAUCACCUAAAAUUUGUAAUUAGGUUAGUGAAUCCAAAAAAUCUAGAUUCUAAUUGAUAUUCGUGGAUAGAAAAUUCCUCAGAAAUUGUAUGAUCCUAAUCUAUAAGAAUUUAGGUUACUGUGUGAAUCAGUGUGCUAAAUUUUAUAACUUGGUCUCAGGUUUCUGCUCUGAAUGAAUCUGUUUCCGGAAGUGCAAAAUCAGUCUUCAAAGCAUGGGAAGAGAGAUUACAAUCUUCUGGGGUACUUUAAAUUCUCACCAUAACUUUUUUUUUUUUUUGCUUCUUGUUAGUUUUAUGGAGAUGAUAACCUUAAAGAUUGUUGAAGAGGACAUGAUUAUACCAAAAUCUGGCUUGUAGGCUAGUAAGGCACCACAAGCUAAUACGCCACUACCGUUCUUGCGACGUCAAUCACUAGGCAACCCUUAUAUGAUGGCUUAAGAACUAAGUCCCUACCAGGGCCUUCCUGAAGCUCACAUAAAAAAAAGUCAUUAGCUUUUAGGAUUAGAGAGCCUAGUUUAUUUAUAAGUCAUCAACCAAUUUUAGGCUUGGCUGAUGAAUGAUCCUUCCUCAAUUACUAUGAUUUAUAUGCAGUGAAAUUAUUGAUAGCAAUGAGUUUUUGUGCAUGAUAAUGUCUAAAGGAAAUGGUUUUUGUGUUUUGUUUUUUCUUGCGUACAGGAGCAUUUGGAGAGCAAUGAGGGAGACCCUGAAUUGCUUGUUUUUGUACCGUAUGUCAGUUAUUUGUUGUUCAUCUUUGAAACUGGCAUUUUGUUUUUUCACACGACCUUCUAUUUCUGGCUGAAUACACCGUUUGGCGUUUGUAAAAUCAUUUACCGACCUGUGACUUCAAAUUUCUUCUAAUAUUAUUGGUUUGCAUAUAGCAAUAUAGUUUAUAGAGAUAGAUCAUUGACUUGAAAGAAGCUUGAGAGGACUAGUUACAUUCCAUUUUUUCUUACUAUGAAAUUGUUUAAUACUUUUUGGAUGGCUGCUCAUUUAUGUCUGUCCAUUAUUGUAGAUUCACAUCAGACGUCAAGAUCAAGAGCAUAUCAAUUGUUGGUGGCCCUGAAGGAACAAGUCCUUCUAAGUUGAGAGUGUAUGUCUAAACUAGCUUACGAAAAUUUUCCUGUAUGCAUGUGUGAAUUCUGCAUAUGGUUCCUUCAUUAGGGGAAGAAAUAAAGACAGAAAGUUGAUUGUUGUCUCAAAACUAGGUUUAUCAAUCGCGAAGGUAUUGACUUCUCAGAUGCUGAGAGUAUGCAAGCUGUUCAGGUAUUCCCUUGUGAGUAUUUUGCAUACUGAAAUGCCAAAGACAAAUGAACUAAUUCAGAAAUAUUUGUGACUUCUUUGAAGGAAUGGGAGUUAGCUGAAAAUUUGCAAGGAGUCUUAGAAUACCAGACCAGGUAUUUCGCUACACAUAUAACGUUUACUGGAUUGUAAUAGACUCUGCAGACUUUAUGUAAUGAAUCUUAAAAAGUCUGUUUGAAUCGCGCAUUUUCUAUCAAAAGUUAGAUAUCUGAUACAUUGAGAGUGCGGAAUGUGAUUAGGUAUUCAAAAUUCCAGAGUGUUGGAAACAUUACAUUGCAUUUCCCUGAGAGCUUUGGAGGUGACACAACUCAAAUACGCUAUAUCGGGUUCAAAGGUGAAGCAACCCAGGUAUGUUUGCAUACAAAUGCUGCAACUAUAUAUCAUAUGGUAUGGUACUUUGUUAAUUCUUAACCUUGGCGGUCUUAACAGUUGAAAAGGGAUGUUGUUGCGACAAUCGUAUAUGAGAUUAGACCAAAUCCUUCAGAUCACAAGUAAGUCUGAAUCUCAACCAAAUCACUCUUUUCUUCCGUAUGUGAAGAUUCCUUCAGUUACAAACUCUGUUUGUUUGGUAGGACAAAAGCUGAGACUGGUGGAGGGUUUUCACAAGUUGAGUGAAGGAAGACAAUAUCUGCUCCUAACUUCACUCCUUAGCCUUCUCACAUACUCAUGUUUUCUCCUUAACAAGCUUAGACCUAUAUUGACAAACAUAUGUAUGAAAUAAAGUGAGAGACUUGUUUGUGGAAACAUCUCUAUGCUUAAACCCACAUGAGAUCUUUCAGAACUUUUAUUAUGAUGAAAUUUGGUUUAAGCCUAAUCCAUCUUAUAAGUUUUAUCUACUACAUUCUUCCAAAUUUUCCAUAGUGAGAAGUCCUUUCUUUUGGUUGUCUUGUGGCACAUCUAUAAAUUUCAGUUGGAAAGCCAAUUUUUAAUUUUGGGUAAAUUUUGAAAUCAAUGUACGAAGAAGACACGGUAACCCACACAUAAAUAUUAACCAUUAUCUUUAAUAUAAAGAGAAAACGUUAAAAGAACUAAAAUGUGAAAGACAAACAUUAAGAAAUCCUCAAGAAAAAGAUAAAGAGCAUGGAAGCCUGUAUUGUAUAUAACAGCUGAAAUUUAUCCAUAAACAUAUCAACUUUUUGGGGAUGCUUUGGGUGGUCCGGCAGGUGGAGCAGCACUCUGUGAAGCCGGUGUACCGCCACCACCACCGGUGGCAGCUCCAGCAGACCCGUCAGAAGAGUAACCUCCACCAGCAGCAGGUUGUGUGUAUCCUCCAUAAGACCCAUAUGCCUGUGGUGCUUGACCAUACCCAUACGCUGGAGGUUGUCCAUACCCUGACGCUGCAGGUUGUGCAUACCCAGACUGACUACCAUAGCUCCCGGGAGCACCUGGAGACUGCUGGCUCUGUCCAUAAGCCGGUGGCUUUGAAGACGGCGGUGGUGCUCCAUACCCAGAACUGUAAGCUGCUGGUGGCUGGCUGCUGUAACCAGCCUGAGAAGUUGGAGCAGCUCCAUACCCUGCCUGAGAAGUACUACCUUGAGCAGGCGGCUGUUGACCAGUUGUACCAUACCCAGCCUGUCCAGACUGAGCUGACGAUGGCGGAGCGGCUUGAGAUGUAUCUUCCUCUUGACUUGGAUUAGUGGUGCUGCCGUAACCACCCUGUUGAUCAUACCCAGCAGCUUGACCAUAUCCUGAUUGCUGAGAGGCAUUGUAAGCUCCAUACCCAUCUUGCUGGUAUCCCUGACCAGCUUGGCCAUAACCAGAAGCAUGCUGGUAGUAAUUGUACCCUGUGGUAUCUGUUGGUGGGGCUGAGCUACCACCACUGCUUGGUUGCUGUGACUGUUGUUGACCAUAAUAAUCAUACUCACCGUGCGCACUCUGCUGGGAUGGUGGCACAGAGGAUUGAUCCCAGGUGGAGGAGUAACCACCUGAAGUUUGCUGAGGGUAACUCCCGUAAGGUGAUUGACCAUACUGAGGUGGACCUGGAUAUGCUCCUGGUUGCAUGUAACCACCAUAACCAGGUUGUGCUGGCGGAGCACCAGGUGGUGCCCAGCUUGAUGGUGGGCGGGCUUGAUAACCACCUUGUUGUGGAUACCCUCCGCCCAUUGCUGAGUUUCUCAUACGGUUCUGCUAAAACAAAUCGUUAAAAUAAAAGGCUUAGGUAACUUUUUUACAGGGAAAUAAAACAAGGACACAGCAUAAGAACACACGAACACAGAGGCAGAGACAUAUAAAGCGGAAAACAAAGACUAGAUUGAGAGGCAUACACGUCAUUUACCAAAAUCAGUCCAAAUAGGAUCAACCAAGAUCAUAUCAUAUUCUAUAAGGGUAAUGGUGAUGCCUACAUACCGUACUGAUUGGUGAAAUUAUUGGGUUACUCCUGCAGAAGCCCAUCCCUUUCCCUAUUCGAGAUAAAUGGGUGCAAGAAAAAACACGGAUACUAUAGAAGCUUUUGCAGAAAAAGCAACAUAUAUAUACACAUGAAACCUAAUUUCUCAAAGGCAAAGUUUAUGAAGCAAAAUAACCUAAUACCAACUAAAGAGUGCUGUUUCAACAAUAUCAAUACUCAUGAAAGUCUAUUAGCAGACACAAGCUGGGGUAUAAACUCUCUAGAGUAAAUAAUGGCUGAAGGGUUCAAAGAGAAACGAAUUUAGGAUAAAAUGGGGAAAGCAAACAAGGCAGAAUAAAAACAGUUACUUGGUUAGCAAAAUAUUGACACAACUAAAUGGCUAAUAGGUCUUCAAAUGUCAGUCGCCCACCUUCGGUGUUACCUUGAUGAUUGAAUCUAGAAGUGAUAGCCGAAUGGAAGUGAUUUUGGACCAUAAAAAAUAAUGGAACACAAUAUAACAAAAACAGUAUUGCAUUUAUUGUAUAGAACAGGUUAGAAAUACUAUCACAGCAGGUUGGACUGAAACUAGUCAGAAACCACACAAAGGCUACCCAAACCAAUGUAGGAUUGGCCACCUUGGCUGUGACCAGAAGCGAUGAAAAUGUCUGCAUAUACUCCAUAAAAAUAGACAACAAGAUUUCUACUAUGACAAUACCAUUUAAAAAGUGAAUAUGCUAAGAAUAUUUCUUGGUAGCAAUACAAGUCAUGAAGAAUCAUGCUAAGCACAUUGUAAAUUGGAUUAUCAAGUGGAUGAAAAGUAGAUAUAAGCAAAGGCCGAUAAAAAACUGUCACAAUAAGAUAGUAACAGAAGCGUGAAACUCGUGUAGGAAGGUAGCGGCAAAAAAUGAGUAUGAGCAGAAGAAGAAGAAGCAACAUAUAAUCUUACAACUUCAAUAACAAUGUAAGGUAUAUCAAGAUAGAAUAUAUUUCUAUGUUAAGAAAAUCACAAAAAUAUCUUCACAUGGUUUAACAUAAAAUAAAAAACCUUCCCCUGCAAAUAAGCGGAGAGAAGAACAAUGCAUUCCAUUGUAGAUGCAGUUAUCGUGGAGCAAAUACCAAAGGAAACGAAGGCAUACGCAGAGUAUAAGUUUAGCAGCUGAUACAUUGACUAAGUGAAACUAGUAUAACCUACAUCACCUAUGAUCUGAAUAAUACAGUAUGUCGUCUACAUUUUAAGGGAAACACUAGAUAAACCUAAAGCUAAUGACAACUAAAUAAUGUAAUCACAACACAAUAUCAAUUUCAGGUAGAAAAAUAGACACUGCAGAAGCCUGCCACAAUCCAUAAACAAACACAACAAUCAAACAUACCUCGCCACUGAUGAUUUCAUUAACUAAUUGUUUAGCAUGUUCAAUCUGCUCGGUUAUCCCAUCAAUCUGCAAAGUUCGUUCUGGCGUUGGGUCUCCAGGGGGCAAAUGCAAAGGAAUAACCUGCAGACAAAUAACCACGGGAUGAAUAAGAUUUCACUAGCUGGAGACAAACAGAAGCUGAACAAUUGACAAAAAUACAAACCUGAAUUCGAGCUCCAGUCUUAGCUUGCAUAGAUUUGAUUGUCUCACCUCCUUUACCAAUAAUCAGACCAACCUAGAACAGUUUAUGUAUUACAUACAAGAUACAUGUUACAGAAAUUGGUCAAUCUCCAGAGCAUUAAGUACCUUAUUAUUUGGAAUUUUCAUAACAAACUGAUCAGCUCCUGCUUGUCCACCCAUCCUACGACCACCUCCACCAGAACCAGCUGUAUUACCUGCCUCAGCCUGAACCAAAAUAAUUAGAUACAGCAUUAGUAAUCUAGUUUUAUCACCUAAAAAACACUAUGAUUAGCACCAAAAGAGUAAGUACUACCUCUUGAAGGACGUCAGUGAUCAACUGCUCAGCUUUGGAAAUCUGGUCAGGCGUGCCAGUUAGGUCAACAGUCCUCGUAGUAGCAUUAGGGUCUGCAUCCAUAUCUCUAGUAACCUGAAUCUUAGCUCCAGACUGAAGUUGAAGAUACUUAAUAGUCUCUCCACCUUUACCAAUGAUAACACCAACUCUCAUAUUCGGAAUAUCAAUCUUCUUAGUAGUUCCUUGAAAGCUACCAUACGAAACCGGUAUCGAAGACGGAGGCGUCCCUGACAUCUGCUUACCCUCUAAAUCAAAGAUCAAAUCACAAGUUUAAUUCCAAACCCUAAAUUCCAUAAACACAACAAGUUUAAGAGAUUUCGAGAACGAACCAGAAGGAUAUGAGCUAAAUCCUUUAUUAUCACCAUAAUCAUAAGAAGCACCAUUCUCAACACGAGGACGUUUAGCAUCAGCACUAUUAAGAAGACGAGCAGCGAUUUCUUGUGCUUUUUGUUUAGCAAUCUGGAUUUCAUCCAUCGGAGGAGGAACGCUGUUGUAAGAAGACGGUGGAGGAACGGCGGAUGCGGUGAGAUCAGGUGAAGCAGAUGGGAUCGGACCUGAAGAGAAACCGGUGGGUCUGCGAGUUGAUGGAGGAGGAGCGGUUUGUUCUUCGUAUUUGCGUUUGUUGGAGUAAGUGUCAGAUGAGUAUUGAGAUUCGUCCGCCAUGGUCGAAGAGCUUUGUGGAUUUGAGAGAAACCCUAGAAAGAGGCGGAGAUAAGGAAGAAGCAAAUAAGACUGAGAGGUAUAAAGAUUAUUUAUAUAUGCGGACCAAAACCUUGCUGUUAUUAUAUACAGAUACUAGAUUUUAAACCUACGGUGUAUUUAAUUUUAAAGUUAGUAUAAAAAUAUUUUGUAAAUUGUAUUUCCUUAUAACAUAUUUAUUUAUAUUAUAGUUUACAAUUGUUAUUAAGUAACGAUAUACCACGAGUCCACGAGAUAAUUAUUAAUAAACUGAGGAUUUAACCCGUAUUAAAGCGGUAUAUAAAUAUUGAUUCAAAUUCGUCCGCCAUAUAAAUCAUUUCCGAAAUAUAACCCGUUCCGUAAUUUCUUAACCCGUCCUGUGAUUUGUAUUAAAAAAAAUAAGGAUUAAAUCCGUAUUGAAGCGGCGGAUUAAUGAUAUUUUAAUCUUUUUAUUAUUGUUGAUUCAAAAACCCGUCCCGCCAAACCCGUCCCGCCAAAAAACUCAUUUAUUUUAUUAAUGUUCUUAUUUAUGAUAUGAUUCUGAAUCAUUGUCUAAAUAUUUUAAUCGAUGUAGAACGUUGAACACACAUUUUCGUCAAUUGGAUAAUAUAUGUCCGUUUUUAAAAUUUUGAAUCACAGUAUAUGCAGAAAAAAAUUGAUUUUUUUUUUACUUUAUGUAUUAUAUGAUGAUUCAAAACAGUUAAAAACAAAUCAAACAAAGAUGAUAGGAGAAUCAUAAUUAUAAAUCUUAAUCAAAUCUUCUAAAAAUCUAAAUUAUUAAAUAUGGAAUAUCCGGUGUAUGAGUUGGGUUAAAUAUAACCCGACCCAACAAAUUUUUUGUGAAGGAAUUUUUAAAAUGGAUCGGAUAUCCGAUAUACCCGAAAGCUUUUUUACCCACCCGUCACAAAAAGUGUUGCGAUUAUACUAGUAUAGAUUUUUCCCUUAUUUAAUUUUUUCUUUUUUACCGCUUUUUCUUUUUAGUUUUAUUAACUUUUAACUUUUUUUCUUUACACAAUUUAGGUUUAGAACUUGAUCGGUUCUCCUAUAAGUUUACACAAAUACUACAGCUGCAAAUGGAUGACAUAUAGAUGAAUGGUUAGAAAAUUUUGAGUUGAACAAAAAAAGUUGAACAUCAUUCAACUCAUUCCUCUGCGAAAUAGUAGUUGAAAGGGUUAAACAAUUUUCCAUCAUAAUCUAUUCAUUUUUCUAACUUUUGGGGUUGAAUGGGUUGAAUCAAUUUUCCAACUUAUUCAUCUCAAAUAAUAAAAAUAAGAUGAAUGGUCAUUCAACUCUUUCAACCUUUUAUUUUAAGUCUACUAUUCAAACGUCACAUUUGCUAUUGUUUAAAACUAAUUACAAAAAUUCUUUUAUACCGUUCUGGACUAUUCGAAAUUAUUAAAAUUUAAAAAAUUUCUUCAUAUAAGCAUUUUUUACUGCAGAUGACUAAAAAAAUGUCACAUAAAUAACAUAAAAAUUUAUUUUAUUAUCAAAUCUUAUAUAUAUUCAAGUUAAUUCUCAAACACUAAUCAUUCUCUCACCUUAAUUUCCCAAUAUGAAUAAUCAUUUGUUUUUUACUUAGGUGUAAAAUAGAAUUCUAAGCCCAAAUUAAAUUUCUCGCUAAUCGUUUAAAGGCCCAAACAACAUAUAUAUUUUGCCACCAAACUCUCCGACUUUACCCCCACGCGCCUUCGGAAAUGAGUCUUCAUUUAUGUCAGACGAAUUAAUGCUGCGUAAAUUCCCAGUCGAAUAGCGUGUUAUUUUCAAACAUUGCAUUAUGUUUUUGUUACUUUAUUAUUUUUGAGACGGGACGUUUGGGUGUCCAUCUGUCCAACCCUUCGAUAUCCCACCUUCUCGCACCCUAACCCUAUUUCUACUGUCAUCUGUCUGGGCAAUACUAUUCAUUGCACCGAUAAACCUUCUUCUUUAUUCUCCACUCUUCUUUUUCUAAAUCCUCUGUAGCUCUCAAUUUCGCACAUCAGUUGAAAUAGUUUUAGUCGGAUUCUUUGCUUUAAUCGGAAGUCCUCGCAUCCGUCCUCAGUCUCGUCCGGUCGGUGGUAGAUCAGAAUUGCUUUUCUUUACCGAAAUUGUUUCUAAAUUUUUUGUUUUCGACUCGCCCUCUUUCUUUCGGUUUUCUCUUGUUAAUUAUUGUCACUAAAUUUUCCGUUCUCGCAUGCAUAUCUCUUUGGGUUUUGGUUUUGGUUUUGGGUUUCUCUUCCAGAUCUACAUUUAUUAUUAGACAUCCUUUUUUCAAUUCGCACUCUACAAAACAACUUACGGCUGGAUCUUUUUGAUAUAGAUUUGUUUCCAUUUUCAAACAUAUAUCUAACCCUAUCUUUUUUGCUUGUUAGAUAUGGAAAACCGUGGCCUACCAUCUCGUAUAUUCGCUGAUUUGGAAGAACCUGCUGGUGAUAGGGUCAAUCAGUAUUUCAAGCUUAAUACCAUUCGGGUUGUUCUGAGGGCUCUUCAGCCUGAAGAACUUGACCAAAUCCGUCCGUUUUUUGGGAAACUGCUUGAGAUGUACGCUAAACCCGUCUUUUCUGGCAAACUGACUCAUUUUCUGCUUACGCGGCAGUUGGAUGUGGUCAAGCGGCACGAGAUCUGGGUUGUUUUCGCUGGGAAACCGUUUAGGUUUUCCCUGAGGGAGUUCGGAAUUGUAACCGGUCUAAACUGUAGGCCUCUGCCGCCGAUUGAUCAGUCUCUGGUCAAGUGUCCGCCUGGUGUUACGCCUUACUGGUUCACGCUAUUUGGAGGCGAAGAGUUUGUCACCGCGGAGAUGUUACAGGCGAAGCUUCGGAGGCCGCGGGCGCUGACCAGUGAGUUAAGGGUUAAGUACGCAUGUCUUCUGCUCGUUGAUGGUCUUUUAUGCCGCCGGUCGUUUAACAUGAAAAUUCCUAAAGAACAUGUUGAGAUGAUUCGCAGCCUUGAUGUUUUUUUGAACUAUCCCUGGGGUCGAUACAGCUUUGACAUGACGAUGUAAUGCAUCAAGUCCAGGGCGGUUAAUCAAUUGGCGCAGGCAACAGUCGCUAUCCAAGGUUUUAUCCAUGCUCUACAGCUUGUUUUUGUCGAGGCUGUUCCAGAUGUCCUAGAUGCUGUUGGCGAUGCGACGGAUCCUGAGUCUGGUGGUGAAGAAGUGUUUCCUGUUAUUUCGUUGAAGCUGGAUAAGGUCUGGGAUUUAGAUGCUCAAGGGGAGGUCUGUUCACAUCUAUUUAUAUCUUAACACCUUUAAUUGAUACUAUAGCCCUCCAUAUAGUCAUAUUUAUAUCUAAUCUUACCUUGUUUUUCAUCUAAUUUCCCUUAGGUCCAAGUUCUUCCAAUUAUUCCUGCCAAUGAGGAAGGUGAUGUUGUUGAUGAGGGUCUUGCGGAUUGCAGUUGGCCGGAUGAAGUUGGCGAUCCCAGUGUUGAAUUCCUGCUUCACCAGUUGGAGGAAGGGGUUGUGUUUAAGCGUGACAUGUUUGUAGGUGGUUUUAGAGGUCUCGCUGCUCCUGCGCAGCCUCCUUCUCGUGUUGUCAAGAAAGGGAAACGCAAAUGUAAUGCCAAGUUGUUGCCUAAAGAGAUGUCAAAUGGUGAGGCUUCUUCAUCUAAGAAACUGAAGAUGCGGUCCCAGCGUGCCAAGUUUGAUAGUGUCGACCCAAAUUCUAAGUUGCUUGCUGCUGUAUCUUCCCAAAUUCGGGCUGGUCUGAAAGAAUCUCAAUCCGCUGUUUACGCAAACCUCUGUAUUGAUAUCAAAGAGAUGGAGUUGCGCCUCCAGCAAAGUUUCAAACAAAACAUUUUCUCUGUUGUCGCUGAAUACUUAGCUGCCAAAGACACUGUCAACACUGUAGUAGACGCUCUUGGGUCUGGAGGAGGCCGUCCUGUUUCCCACCUAAACCAGGACCCGGUUCAACCUGAUCCUCUGCUUUCUGACCCUUACGCACCCGCUAAACUCUCAUCUCCAAAGGUUAGCUGGAUGUUGCCUAAAGCUAUUUAAUUACACCAUUGCUUCCUUGUCAUUCUUUUCUUAAUCCUUUCUAUUUUUCAAGGAUACUACUCCAACUGUCCAAGGUGAAACUGGCAGCUCCUCUGCGGCUGCAAGCGGGGAGAAGGUUUGUUUUCUUUCCCUUAUAAUGUUCUUUAUAUUUAGUCCAAAUUUCAUAGAUUUGUAACUAUUAUAUUUGUAGUCAUCCGGAGGUGAUACUGUUGUGCAAUUCUCUGAACAACUCCCCGAUUCUGCUACUGAGGUUGACCCUUCUUCUGAUAAGUUCAAACUCCUAAUCACGCAUAUGGUUCCGACUUUGUAAGUAUGCCUUUCCUUGGUUUUAAAUGUUCACUUUUUUGGGUAUCUAUUAUUCUAAUUCAACAUUCAACUCUGCAUAUGGGGAUGUAUGUUCAUUUGUUAAUGGUUAUGAUUUCAUAUAUUUUGUUGUGUAGGGAAUUAUCGGUUGGCGAGGGUUUAGUCCUUAAAGACAAAGAUGUUCUUAACAUACCCAUCAUUAUUCCACCAGACUCUCCCCAGGUCUGCACCAAUGUCUGUUUCUCCUUCCCUUAUUAUUUUCAUACUUUAUUACUUAUUUGCCCUACAUGUAGGUCAUGGAUUCUUGUGUUCUUGUCCUGAGAGACUCUCUCUUCAACAAUGUUGAUCCUGCCUCUGAUCCUAGAGCCGAGUUUAUGCGGUCUAACUUCCCUGGCUCCUUUGCUGUUCUCUAUGCAAAGUUUAAGAAGACUUCUCGGAAAGAAUUGUUUGAUUUUGACCCUGAAGUUCUGGCAGCGGUCAUUGACAGGUCUAAGCUUAAUGGUCGGGAGUGGAUCAUUGACAUUGAUUUCUUGUACUUCCUGUUUAAUAUCGAUAAGAAUCGAUGGAUUGCUGUCAUGGUCAACUUGCGUAAUCAUGUGCUCACAGUCUUUGAUCCCAAUGCUGAUGCUUGCCGUGGCUCCCGAUUGAAACCCCAGCUCGAUUUCGUCUGCGAGAUGUUUCCCUACUUUGUGCGUAAAGUUGGUCUCAAUGACAUGAUGUCAUCUUUUUCAUUGGAGCCGUUGGCAUUCCACCGCGAUACCUCUGUUGUCCAAGCUUCUGUUCGUUCCAAUACUGGGAUCUUAUCUCUUCUGUUUAUGGAGGCUCAUGCCUUCGGUGGGUUGGAGAAGGUGUACAAGGUCAACGAGUCUGCUAUCCGUUCGCGGGCUGAAAGCUUGGCGGUUGAGCUUUAUGAGCACUGCUGCGGUGAGCUCGUUGUUGAAUAAGUAGACGACUCUUCUGUCUGUUUUUUUGCUUUUUAUCUUCAACUAUGUUCUCUAUCAACGCUGUGUGUUUUUGGACAUUUCCCUUAUUCGCGAUGUUUUUUGGUUUUGCUGCUAAUUAGUUUUCAAUGUUGCGGAUGCUAUCCAUGUACUCUUUACCCCCUAAGCUAUAUAUUAAUUACUAUAUAAUUGCUUCCAUUUAAUUUGUCAAUCUUAAAGCAUUAUGUAUGUUAUUAUCCAUCUAUGUUUGCUUGUAUACAUGCAAUUUUUUUUGUAGGCAUAUAUUUUAGAUUAUAUAACUGUCUAUUUUUUUGGUUGCCCUCUAUUCGCGUGACUAUCUUUUAGAGGUUUUUUCUGUUUUCGGGCACUUAUGCUGGUAUGUGUUUUUUUUUUUUUUUGGUCAAAUGCUAUUAUGUGUUUUCACUUCUACUUUUUUACGCAACAUAGACAAGUUCGGCUUUAUGUGUAGCAUUUAUAAAACCAUUUGCACAUGAUAUCUUAUACAUUACACUAAAAUUAGAACAUUUUUUUACAAAAUAUGCCAGAUAAUUAAUUUAUAUUAGCGAUGGUUCUUGAAGUAGAUACGAAGAAACAGACCAAUGCACAAUAGGUUUGCUACCUACAGAUUAAAAUACAUCGAUACUUGUACUUGAUGGAGAUACAGCGAAAUAGAACUCUACUUAGUAAUUUAGCUAGCUAUAGACAUAAGUACAUCAAUCUGCCCCGCCUUUAUGUCGGGGUUUGUUGUUCGGCUUACCUUAAUCCAUGGACGACCGUCGCCACUACACAAAUAAACCCAACCCACGAUAUUAGAACAAAGUGGCGGAGCGUUUGUUCGGCUUGGUGGCUUACCUGAAGUUCACUCCUAAGGAUUAUGUUUUCCUUCUCCAACUUCUCUAUCGAGCUUUCUCCCUCUUCUUUUGCAAUGUCUGCCUCGGUUUUCGGUUCCUCUUUUGCGGCUUCUUGAAGAAGUUUUAUCGUUUCCUUCUGCGCUCUUAUCACAUCUCGCGCCUCCAGUAAAGCUGUUUUCUGCCAGCCGUGUGGUUUUUCGAGGUCGCGCCACUGGAAGAAGUCGCAAACGCUUCUCCACGCGGCGCCGCAGCCGUAGAAACGUCUCCCUGGGUUUGCAUCGGUCCACGCUUGCCGGAUCGUUGCUGGUUUACCGCAGUCGCAGAGAAACCCUUGGUCCGGCGGCAUGGUGGUCUGUGUCAUUCUCGUAGAGCUCGAAGAAUUUCCAGAAGUUUCGCUAAUCAUUUUUUCUAGAUCUAGGUUAGAUUGUGUAUUUUUGGUUGGGGGCUUGGUUGGGUAGCUAGUAUUUAUGGCGGCUCCUCGACUUUAUGUGGCCCACACAGUGGGGAUUAGUUGUUGUCUGUCGAACCUAAUUUCCGAAAUUAGGUUUGCUUUCCACUGGGAUAGCCCUCCAAUUAUAUAUAUAUAAUUGUAUGCGAUUUUGUAUAAUGGUAUUUUAUUGGGUGGAUUGUCACUGAUAUCAAAUAUAGGCCGUCGUUGCUAUUACUUAAGGUCUCCAGUUAUAUUUAUGUUUGCCGUAGGUAGGUUAUAUAUGAAGUCGGUUUUUAAACGAGAAUCAUAACUGAAUUCAUAAAUAUAUUACAUUACAAGGCGUGCGGACUCAAACGAUCGACGCAUUACACCUUGUUAGGAGAAGUUCAACAUAAUUUGAAGACAAUGGUGGAAGGCAUGUUCGCACCCAUACUAAUACAACUUAAACGGAGGGGAUCUACUUCACUAUCUUACAAACAAAACACAAAAGCUUCCGACUCAUAAACCCCGAUACUUCAAGCAAACAUCCGUCUAGCUGCUUUACACAUUGAAAAUAUGCAGCUCCAUAUAUCUGCAUAAGCGUUUAUAUUUGGUUAUUAUUCGCUAUUUGAUUAAUUAGUAUUCAAAUAGUAUGUUUGUUAACUUAGGAUGGUUUACCUUACAUAGGCCUCUUGAACCCUUAGAUUGUCAUCUUGCAAGUCGCCCGGUUAUGCCCAGGCCCGGUUAUGCCCAGGCCCACGACAACGGGUACAGCUCCGUUUCGCCUUCUUCCUCGUCAGCUGCAUAUUAAUUCACAACAACUGUCAAUUGUAGCGCUGUAUCAUAAUUUAUACAUUGCUAUAAUACGUCUUAUUACCAACUAACUACCUUAAACUCUCCACUUGAUAGGUAUCUAGAACGCUUUGGCCUACCUGGUGGCCUUUUGGUCAGGGGAGGGUGAACUGUCCUUGUCGCAAUUGUAUUUGGUAUGUCGCGGAGAGUGCUCAUGUCGGGCACCGAAUAUAUGCUGCCAUUGUAGGCUAAGCUCCAGAAAAACGUACCGUAGUGGGGAGCAGCCAGCUCCUCAACUUUGAUGUCUGUCUGUCCAGCAGCUGCUAUAGCGUGGCUGCAAGGUAUUUUGAGCAGAGUGAACUCUUCACAUGUGCAAGAUUUAUUUUGGAGGUCCACAAUAUAAGAUAACCAUGUUGGAGUUUUCACUUCAUAGACAUCCUUGCUGAUUUGUAGCACUUCAUACGCUGUUGAUCUCACGUAACUUUUGUUAACAAUCUCCUCCACUUUCGGCGUUAGGGCACUAUCAUGACGCAUUGCCUUAUCCCGCCUCUUUGUAAACCAUGAUGUAAGUGUACCUCUGAUGUACUCGAGAAUUGACACAAGAGGCAUCUCUCUGGCCUCCUUUAGCACGGCAUUGAGUGACUCCGCGACGUUGGAGGUCAUUAUGUUGUACCGAUCGCCAUCGCAGUGCGACCUUGUCCACUGGUGCAAUCCAAUUGACAUCAAGUACUCAGCGCAUUCAGGAGAUACACGCUCUAUUUCUGCAAAGUAUUCGUGGAAUGUAGUUUUCCGGAAAGCUCUAGCUGCCUUUGAGAUCAGGGCUGCUAGGACGCGUAUCUUAAACUUCGCCGCUACGUUUCUUUGCAGAUGUACGAUACAAGCACCAUGAGAGGCCGCGGGAUACACCUGUAGAUGUUUUUGAAAUUAGACAUUUUUAUUUAUUAUUGUAACUACUGAUAUUAAACAUAGUCAAGUACAUACGCAAAUAAGGAUAUAAGUAUUUUCUUGGGGCGUUAUUUCAUUAAGUAGACAUACCUUGUCGAUGCCGCUAUGAAUUGAUGAGUGGCGGUCAGAGACAAAAGUCAGGGUUUCAUCGUCCGGAAUGAAUUUUUUUAGGCAGCUAAAGAACCAUUCCCACGCCUUGUCAUUUUCACUGUCCACGAUUGCGAACGCGAUGGGAAAAAUUUGGAAGUUACCGUCUUGCGCACUAGCCGUAAGAAGGCAGCCCGCAUAACGACCUCGCAAAUGAGCCCCAUCUAUUAUCAGUACAUUUCUCAUGAACCUCCACCCCUUCACACUGGCCCCAAGCGCCACAAAGCAAUACUUAAACCUCUCAUCCCCGUUGACAUCAACCUCUGUCUGUAGCUCCGUUAUAGUCCCCGUGUUUGCUUGCUCUAGCAUGUGGAAGUAUGUGGGAAGUAGACGGAAACUCCCUGCUGCCGAACCCUUCGCCAUAUCCAUUGCUAGCUCCCUCGCCCUCCACGCCUUCCAAUAUGAGACAUUCACACUAUGCUCGUCUCGCAAGGCCUGGCGGAGUGCAAUGGGGCUUGGACCAACCCCAACACCACUGUAUCUUGAUCUCAUUAUUUCGGAUAUGACUGAAGUGGUGGCUUGCCUUUGAAACAUGUUUCUUGCCUCAAUUGGGCAUGUAUGUUCUAGUUCAGCCGUUCAGAUUUGGAAAUAGUCUGUGUCGUCCAGGCGGACCACGUAAACUCUCCAGCGACACGCGUCAGACACACACCGGACUAUGACCACGUCAUUGGUGGUCCUAUCAUUACGGAAGCUAAACCUUCGAUUUAUCGCAUGGAUUGCUAUCUUCACCCUGCAGUCGUCUCUGUUCUUAAAUACCCGUCCGAUGAAGAGCUCAUCUCCUUCGUAGUCCCCAUCAAGCACAACCAUCCUUGUUCUAUCCCGGCCUGAGUGCAAAUGUAACAUAAAAAUUCCAGAUAAAUAUCUAUUUAGUCUGAUAGAUGUUGUGGUGCACGUAACCUACAUGUUUUUAGAGAUCUCUACAAAAUUAUUUAACCCUUACUUUCUGGGUCUGUAUCAUCGAUUACUGGUGCUGCGUCCCUAGCGAAGGUCGCAUCUGGCAUGUUUAGAUAUCGGAACAAGCCUUCAGUUGGAUUGCUUGCAGAUUGGCGGUUUGAUGUUUCGGAAAUCGCAUCACCCCCUACAAAUAUAGAUUAUGCAAAACAUUAAAAUAUAUAGCUCUAUAUAUUAAUAAUAUCCGCUGCACAAAAAUUUACAUGGGAUAACCGUUCCCGAUACCUCCUUCCUGUUGCGAUACAUUCUCCGUCCCAGGUGCCUGUAUAGAACCCGUGUUUUCACUUCCAUGUGCCUGCUCUGAGCUGUCUCCUUCGCCCUCUAGGUAAUUUAUGGGUUGUUAGGACAGAUAGAUAUUUACUUAGAAUGAUAGAGCACUAUAUUUAACUUCGCUUACCUUUUUCAAAGUCUUUGAACAGAUUCCUAGUCAAACGCGUCACCCGUAGGUUGGCCUCCUCACCGUCUGAACUUUCAGCUGGGUGUAGGACACUCACUGGAAACCUAUUCACGGUUUGCUCAUUUCCAGUAUACUUGAAAUGCCUAGCUGCUGCGGUUAGUGUUGGGAACCCUCGUGCUAGGUAUGUACUCCCUAUCCAUCCGGGUGCACUGCUACUUCCUCCGUCAUUCCGUGGUAGUUGGCUACAGAUGACGCCGUCAAUCGCCUCUUUUGCAGCUCUGCGCUCCAUUUCCUUGGCUACCUCAUCCUUGCUCAUCACCUCCCCAAAGCUGUGGUCAGUUACAACUGGAACAACUUUGAAGCCGUCAAUCUCGAGGCUCAUGUUUAGAGGCAUUGGAACUGCUAGCAGUGUCAUAUCAUGGAUAUCCACACGGAUCGCCAAGAACAUGUCCAUAUCAUCGUCGCUGACGAUGUGUAUCGGAACUGGCUUCACCGUCCCAUCAACAUCCAUCCAUUCCGGCAUCUGGUACGUCAUCUCAAUCUUCUCCUUCGUCGUGUCAAUGCUGAGCUCCGUCAUAACCUUCGUUUUGGUUGCCUCCACGCCAGCACCCUCCCUUAACCGCACGUAUUUGGAUGGCCUGUCCGAGAACUCCACGAACCUCCACACACCGCCUCCAUCUUUCAUCCACCAUCCUUGCUGAACUCGAACCUCACCGGAAUAUGAUUCGUCUGUCACCUCCAUUUGUAAAUCACCUGUAUAUACCAAUAACAACCGACUUACUAACUUGGGAAAAUAUUUGACUCUAUAAUUGUUUAUGAAGAAGCACUACCUCUAUCUCUGUUAUUGAUCUAUCUUGCCGAUGUAGAGACUUACACUUUUUUUUCUUUUGCUUUUUUUUUCCUCGGUAGCACACCCAAAUAGCCCGGCGUUGUUCCCCUAUUUAUUGAACAUCCACGCUUCGAGGUUAGGGCUUCAAAAUUUUAAAUUCCCGCCCGUUUGCUUCACUUCAAACAGGCGACAUGAGUAUUAAAUGCGUGCGCAGUCAUCACAUCAUCGUCAAUUCAUUCCUUCUGUCGCCGCAUAAGUGUCCUUUCACCUGCGGUGCAUUAAAUGCUGAAGCUUCGGAAGUCAACUUUUUUGCAUACGCGCGCCUCAUGGUUUUUCCGUAAAUAGAUUGAUUUGCAGACCCAAUUUUUGAUGAUUUAUAUCGUCCUUCCUAGGUAGACAAACAGAUUGUCUCUGACCUUAUUUAUUUGCCCAUUUUUCACUCUCACCAAAUCGUCCCUAAAUUUAUUUGUAGGGGCAAAUGGGUAUUGGGUCCGGAUUCGGAUAGGACAUGAUCAGGUCCGGGUCAACGUGUAAUUGAAUUUAAGACCCAAUAGGGUAAUUAUAAAAACUUGGGUCAGGUUCGGUUCAGGUGCUGUAGGAUUUUGGUCGGUUCGGAUUUAGUUUUUCAAAACCCAAAAAUUACUCAAAAUAACGGGUAUCCAAAAAACUUUUAAAAAUGGUUAAAUUUAAAUAAAGUUGGAUAUAGUUGAAUAAAUUUGGCUAAAUUUUGCCAAAUAUUAUAAAUAAUUAUUUGAUAUUUUGGUUAUUUAGGGUAUUUAGGUCUAAAACCAAUUGAUAUAUCUAUACUAGUAUUUUUGAAGUACAUUUUUAGCGGGUGGGUUAAAUUGUUAUCCGACAAAUUUGGUACCCGACCCCAUAAGAAAUUUUCUUCAUAAAUCUUACACCGGAUAUUUCAUAUCGUUUUUGGAUCGGGUCAAAACAUAUCCAAAAUUAUGAACCGGAUAUUCCAUAAUUAAAAAUAUAGAUAUUUAGAAGAUUUUAUUAGGGAAAUUGUUAAAAAUACCCCUUUUGGUGUGCCCCUUUUCAAAAAUGCCCCUUUUAGAUGUCCAUUUUCAAAAAUGCUCAUUUUUAAAUUUGAAAUUUUUAUAAAGUUUUAUUAGGUUUAUAAGGUACUUAUGGAUUGUAACUACUACUUGAAGACUCGAUCCAAGUAUUUAUAAGGUUUUAUAAGGUGUUUUUAAAGGUUUUACAAGUUAUUUUAAAGGAUUUUAAAGGUUUUUCAAAGGUUUUACAAGAUAUUUUAAAGGUUUUUAAAGGUAUUUAAAAUGCAUUUAUAAGGUAUUUAUAAAGUAUUUGUAAGAUUUUAGAUACAUAGAAAUGUAGUUUGUGUAUGUUUUAAUAAUAUUACAUACAUAUUUGGGUAAAUCUUAUAUUUUUAAGAGCAUUUUUAUAAGGUUUUUAAAAAGGGGUAUUUUUGAAAAGUGGCAUUGAAAAAGUGGCAUUUUUGCAAAAACCCCAUUUUAUUAAGAUUUAGAAAUCUAAUUCUCAUAUCAUCUUUGUUUUAACAUUUUUUAACUGUUUUGAAUCAUCAUAUAAUACAUAAAGUUAAAACAAAAUCUCAAUUUUUUUCUUCAUAUAUUGGGAUUUGAAAUUUUUAAAACGGAUAUAUAUUACCCAAUUGAUGAAAAAGGUGUGUGUUCAACGUCCCAUAUGGGCUAAAAUAUUUAGAUAUUGAUUCAGAAUCAUAUUAUAAACUAGAAUCUAACCCGCGGUACACCGCGGGGCUAUAUAUUUAUAAAGAAAUAUAUUUAUAAAGAAAUGUAAUUUUUUUUAUAAAGAUUAACUAAAGAUAUAUCAUAUUAAUUUGUAUUUUUUAAAUGUAGAUAUCUAUCUGUGUAUUAUUUAGUGUAUGAUUAUUAUUGUUUAGGUUUCAAAUUUUAAUGUAUAGAUGCGAAAACAUACAGUUUAUUAAGUAACGAUGUAUGGUGGAUUUAAAAAUUUGAAUAUUUUACCCCACACUAUAUUGCUUGUUUUGUUUCAUGGUAUACCGUGAGACUAUAUGCUAAUUUAAAAUUAUAAUGUUAAAGAUUUGAUGAGUAUAUAUAGCUGUAUAUUUUAAAGAUUUGAUGAGUAUAUAUAGUUACAAAUCCAUAUCUAUAUAUUAUAUUGUUUACGAUAAACAUGUUUUCAGAUUUUUCAGAUUAUAUAGAUAAUAGUUUUAAUUGAGUAGUAAGAUUUUUGGUUUACUAUAUCUUGAUUAAAUUAAUAAAUAUAUAGAGAAUUAAGUCUAAAAUUUAUAAAAUAAAAUAAAAUUUAGAGAAUCAAGUCUAAAAUCCACGACUCUUACUGCUACAAUUCUGACAAAAAUAAGCUACAAAUAUAUGUACAAAAACCCGUAAUUGUUACAAAGUUGUUAAUGGGAGAAAAUCAAAACCAUUGAGAUUCUCUUGAAACUAAUAAGUAAUAAAACAAACAAAAUUCAAUAUUAUCUCAUUUCUCGUAAGAGAAAAGUCACUCAACGAUGUUGGUUACACAACGGAUCUUUACCUGAAAAUAUUCAUUGUAAAACAAAAUUUUAAUUAAAAAAAUUUGGAAAAUAAUGUUAAAAACAAAUUGUUGAUGUAAAAUGGCGCUUUGAAUACUAUGUUAUUGUUGAAGAAGCGAGUCGUCACGUCUUCUUGACUCAGACGGAGUUGUAACAGUUGCCGCAGUAGACGACGGUGUAGUCACCGUUGAAGACGACAAUUUGCAGACGACAAUUUGCAGAAAGUCAUUGUUUUAUUUUCCAUCUAAAGGAUUUGUCCCUUCUACAAAAAUGAAAAAAAUAUUAUGAGAAAAGAAAAAACAUUGCAGAUUAUAAGAAAGAUUAAGAUAUACUCACGUUAAUGCAGUUAUGUGAUUACAAAAAAAAACAGAAUCUCAAACAUAAAAAUUAAAUUUGAAUUAAGAACAAAGAUUACCUUAUGAAUAUACCUUGAAGGAUGUAUGUGCUAUUUUUGCUAGAGGCGAGUAUAGUUUGGAAUGAGAUUAGAAAAAUAUUUGCUUGAUGAAUCUAGUAGUGGAGUAAAGAUUGGUAUUUAUUGAGAAGGUAGAAGUCUAGGUUUAUGGUUUAGGUGAUAUGAGAAUAUCAAAGAUACGAAUAAAAAAAAUGGUUAUCACAAUGAAUGAUUGUAAUAAUUAAGGGAAGAUUAGGAAAUUAGGAGAUACAAACUUUAUCUCUAAAAGAUUGAUGAUGAUUUGGUUUAGGUAACGUUAGUUUAUCAUUAAUUUGGAGAAUAUGCCAUUAAUUUGUUUCUCAUUUCAGUUAACCGAGAAUCGAUAUAUUGACCCGAUUCGCUAAUGAUUGUUUUAAUUAGUAGAGAAAUUAGUGUUUGCCAUUAGUAUAAAUCGUAUAUGGAGUUAAGACAUUGUUUCUAUUACUGAAAAUAAUUGAAUGCUGUUUUAUAUGUUUGAGAUAUUUGUCGAGAUAUUAGAAAAUAUUUUGGCGAGAUUUUUGGUAACAAUUUGAGUAACGAAAUAAAAUUAAAAAUCUUUAUUCAAAUUAAACAAAUCUAAACAAUUAAUGUCAAUGGCAUUCAUCCGUAAAUACUACCCAACCCCAGGAUUUAUUUGCUAAAUGUACUCAAAAAAUGUAUAUAUAGAUAAGAUCAAAAUAAAUUCAAAUCCGAAUGAACAAGAAGCUCAACUUAAUAAGCAUCCAAAUUAAAAUUAUAUACCGUUUCAUUCGAUUUUUUAAGUUUAACUUCUUAAUUUUACCAGAAAUAUUAAAUUUUAAACUUUUAAGAAGUUAUUUAAUAAUAGAAUUCAUAUAUUUAAAAUCAAUAAAAAGUUUAUAAUAUUAUGAACAUUUGAACAUAUAUAAAGAGUUACAAUAACACAAGACAUGUUAUAUUGUUAGACGAGGUUAUAUAAUGGGACGAGUUUUUAAGAAGUUUUAAAUAUUAUAAUUCAUAUAUUUAAAAUUAAUAAAAAAAUAUAUAAUAUUAAAAACAUUUGAACAUAUAUAAAGAGUUAAAAUAAUAUGGGACGGUUAUAUUGGUGGACGGGGUUAUAUUUAGGACGUGAUUAUAUGACGGGACGAGUUUGAAUCAAAAAAAAUUUAAACAUCAUUAACCCGCUGCUUUAAUACGGAUUAAAUCUUCAUUUUAUUAUUUGUUUAACACCACCAAUAUUAGAGAUAUCGAAUGAUCUUGAUUAAAAUAAAACUGUAUAAAACAAAAAAAAAAAAUUUGGUCUACCAUUACUUAAUAGCAAUUGUAAACUAUAAAAUAUAAAUGUCUUAUAAAAUGAUACAAUUUGCAAAUUUAUAGAUAUAAUUUAUAACCGUUAAAUUUUAGAAAUUACAAAUUAAAAAAAAAACGUCUCAAGGUGUAUGUUGAUGAUCCGAAAGUAAACACAAAUAAAUAUCAUUACAAUUCUAUGACAUGAAGGAACGGAAGACAAACUUGAGCCUUGGUCAUGAUCUAGACAUGGAUUCUUCUCGUUUUCCUUCAUGGCCCGAGCUUCUUAGGUUCGGUUCGUUGCUUUAUAAAUUGGGUUUUCUGCAAAACAACCCUCUAAGUCAAUUUCGUUUGCAAGUUUACCUUCCAAGUCUGAAUUAUGCAAGUCAACCCUACAAUCUCAAAAGUCACCCGCAAUACUACCCUCCCGUGUAGCGAUGACGUGGCAGUCGAUAACUCCGUUUGAAAACAUAAGGGGUUUUUUGCAUUUUUUUUGCAAAAAACCCUCCAUGUAAUUUUUUUUUUGCAAGACAAACCUCCAUGUCAAAUAAAUGCAGGUCAAACCAUAAUCUCAAAAGUCACCUGCAAUAUAGCCCUUCCGUUUAUCGAUGACGUGGAAAUCGAUAACUAAUUUUAUGUAAUCAUGGAGGUGUGGGAGCAACCAUGGAGUUAAAGUCAAUUCUUUAAGGUUUAGAUUUGUUUUCUGAUAUUGGUUUUAAGAAUCUGUUUGUGUUGAUUUCAAAAUCUCUGCAGUAUAUCUUAGAUUUUGGUUCUAAUAAUUUACUCAUAAAACUCCAAAGAGGUUUCAUUUCAAAUGAUUUAAUAUACAAAGAUUUUACAAGUCUUUUAGUUUUGAAUAACAUUGGAUUUUAAUGAAGUAUUUUAAAUCUUAGUUGAAUAACACCAAACUAUUAAAAUCUAAUGAAGUAUAAAAUCCAAUAACACCAGAUUUUAAAGUUAGAUUUAGAAUCAUUAGUUGAAUAACACUGGAUUAGUGUUAGAUUUCAAUCUAUUAAAAUCAAUCAAUGAAUGACACCACCUAAAGGUUUACACCCAAAACUAUGGGCUUAUAAUUAUAUGAUGGGCUUACAAUUACUAAAAACGUUAUGGGUUUUUGCUGACAUUUAUUUUUUUUUGUCUUCCUUUAAAAAAAGGAAAUAAAUUUUAUUUUAGUUUUUUUCUUUUUCAAACACGUUCAAUCUUUUUUUUUUUUUUUUACGUCUGGAUUUAUUAUUUAUUGCAAAUUAUGAGAACUGUUACAUAGACGAUUUUACAACGGACAAUUCCUUCCGGCCCUUAUUAGAUCUACGACAGACGACACUUCCUUCUUCAUGCUAUUGACGGACACCUUCAAUGAUCCACGACCUGACGACACUUCUCUCUCUGCGUAGAAUCCUGGUGAACGGCUAUAAUUGUACAUCGCUGGAGAUCUCCUGCACACUUGCCUCCAUUAAUCUGCAAAUUUAUUAAUAAAUCGCAGUACCUGGGACUCGAACCCCAAACCUCUCGGUGUAGAAGCAUUAAUUAACCAUUGAUCAACCAAUCUUUUGAUUAACAUGUUCAAUCUUUUGCUUUAGAAUUUUUAUUUAAAAAAAUUAUGAAAUAGAAAUCUAUGUGGCAAAAUUCUAUUGGCUAGGUGACUUGUGCUUCAUAAUAUAAAGAAUUUUGGGUAAUUAGAUUUAUCUCAUAUUUUUCAUUCGAUUGCCAUCACAUGAUUAUUAAACCAAUCCAAACACACGACAAAGAAUAUACAAAGCAAAAGCCACAGAAAAAUCACUUAUAACAUGGAACAAACCAAACAUAAACCAAAGAAUUCUAAACGGGUAAUAAAAAUUGUUUCAUCAAAUAUAAAAAAAAAAUAUUCAAUCAUCGAGUUCAAGCUCCUAUAACAUCCAUCCAUAUAUUAUAAGUUAUUUUGUCUCUCCAAUUGUUAGCAUAUUCUUUUUGUUGGGAUUCAAAAAUUUCUACAUCUCCAUUUUCUUCAUAAUUGUUUUCUUCAUUGACGUUGCUAUUCUCUUCAUUAACAUUCAUCCAUAUAUUAUAAGUUAUUUCGUCUCUCCAAUUGUUACUAUAUUCUCUUUGUUGCGAUUCGAAAAUUCCUACAGCUUUUUAUUCAUAUAAAAACUCUUUCAAAUUAGUAGAUGGUACCAUGAUAUUUUGAAAGUUUAAUUUUCUUUUUGAAAAUCAACACAUUUUUUCUCCACAUAGUUUACUGGUUUUAUUGGUCUUGUUUUGUUUUAUUUUAUUGGCUAUUUCAUAUGGAUAUACAAUUAUAGAGAGAUAAAGCUGUAUCCCAUUUUUUCGAUUGUCAUCACAUGAUUCUUAAACCAAUCCAAAUACACGACAAAAAUAUAAAAAGCAAAAGCCACAGAAAAAUCACUUAUAACAUGAAACAAACCAAGAUGAAACCAAAGAAUUCUAAAUGGGUAAUAAAAAUUGUUUCAUCAAAUGUCCAAGCUCCUGUAACAUUUAUCCAUAUAUUAUAAGUUAUUUCGUCUCUCCAAUUGUUAGCAUAUUCUCUUUGUUGGGAUUCGAAAAUUCCUACAUCUCUAUUUUCUUCAUAAUUGUUUUUUUUCAUUGACUUUGCUAUUCUCUCCAUUUAUACCGAGUGCAUGCAAGAAAUAGUUCCUUUUUAGUCUUAAAAGGAUGUGGAGGUACAAAUUUGAAAAUUAGAAAACGAGAUUUGAAAUACCAAAGAUUCUUUCGAUGAAAUUUUCUAAAGAGGCAAUGACGUAGAUUGAAUAGCUCAUUCUAGGUUUGUGGUCCACGACCUUGACUUCAAAAUCUUAGAGGGUGAUAACGAGUACGCUGAAAUGGUGCUCCAAGAGGAAGAGUCCUUCCUCAGCGGGGGCUUAGACAAGGAGACCUCCUUUCGCCUUAAUACAAGAUAAAUUAUUCUUCUAAAUUUUAUAUAGAAGAACUUAUAUAUAUAUAUAUAUAUAUAUAUAUAUAUAUAUAUACAUUUUUGGAGAUAUUUAUGAAAUAAAUCUUGGAGUUCUAACUUAUUUACGAUCAAAUGCUAUUGACAUUAAUUAUUUAAAUUUACAAAAUUAAAUCAAAGAUAUUAACAUAAACAAAUCUUUCUAAAAAUCUUAACCUAAUAUAUUAACCAUAACUAAUUCUUGCCACAAUUACAUCCAUAUUCAUUUCGAUUUCCUUAAAAGAUCUCAACAAUCUCUACAUUUAAUUGUGGUCAUUCAAAUCUUAAGCCGAUUUUUAAAAUUCAAUCUUGACUGUCGGUCAUACGCAAUUAAUUCAGAAAUCAUUAUAUAGAAUUAAUUGUUAUUAACUAAAAUUUAAUAUAUAUAUAUACUAGCGUUAGAACCCGUACUACGUACGGGACCAAAAUAUUUACUUGUAUUUGUGUUAAAGAUUUAUUGUAUUUUUUUGGUAAGUAAAGAUUUAUUGUAUUUUAAGAUCAAGUUUGUGCUUUAAUAUGAUCUUGGUCGAAGAUCUAUGUCCCUUGAAUACACUUCGUGAGGUUGAACGAAAACAGCUUGCGGAUUGACUGUUUUAGAGAGGUGGAGAUCGAGUAGGCGAUCUGGUGGACGUGUUCGAGUGGUCUAGUGAGUGUACUCGAGUGGUCUGGUGAGUGUACUCGAGUAGGUCUGUUCGAGUGGAUCUGGUGGAGUGAAACGAGUGAGAUCGAGUGGUGAAGAAGAUGAGGGGUCGAAUAGAACUUCCAAAGGCUGCGGGAUUCCUUUGAACUUCCAGGCUUGAUUCUACUUGGAUAUGACACACCAAGAGCAGUUUCAAGAUGAGAACGUGAUAUUACACACACAAACUCAAGAUCAAACGAAUUCAGAAAGAGUUUUUGAUAAGAAAAUGUUUGAUGAUGUUUACAAUGGAGGAGAACCGAAUAUAAAGAAGAAGAAGAGAGUCUAGGGAGUUGAAGAGUUCACCUAGGGAAAGAAAAACGAAAUAAACACACAAGACUAAGUUUAAAAUCGAAAUGGGCUCCACCAUGCAGAUGGGCUCUGAGACAGCAAUGGGCUUGAGUAAAAGAGUGUGUGGGCUUGCCUCAUUAAAAACCUCUCUUGGAAAACCCAUUGGGACAAAACCAAGAGGAGGGAAAAAGAGUGCAAGUCACACACCUCCAUUGCUGUCGCUUAAACGGCUUGAAUCACAACCAGUGUGGUUGGACAAGCUUCUGGUUUAAGGCUGCCCUCAAUGUGUUGUAGAAGUGUGUUGAUAGCUUGAUUCAACUGCUUAGUCCUUGAUCUCGUCAUUGGUCCAGUAGCGACUUGCAAUGCAACGUCCUCUUUAGCUCCAAGAACUUCAUCUCCAUGCUCCUUAUCUCCAUGCUCGAUCAAGUGUUCCUCUGGUGCAAUGUCCUGCUCGAUCACGUCUCCUGCUUGGUGGUCGAGUAUGUCCUCUGGUACAUGCUGAUCCUUAGCUCCAUGAUCCAAGCUUUCCAUUAUCACAUCAUCCUCUCCCAGUUGAAAAGGAUUUGACCUCAAAUCUGUAUUAUAUGCAAUAAAAGGGAUAAGGUCAGCAACGUUGAAGCUAUUACUCACGUUGUACUUACCUUGCAAAUCCAGCGAGUAGGCAUUGUUGUUGAUCCUCUUGAGCACUUUAAAAGGUCCGUCUAUUCUUGGCAUAAGCUUAGACUUUCUCUCCUUAGGAAAACGUUCUUUUCGGAGAUGAAUCCAAACCAAGUCUCCUUCGUUGAAAAUGAGUUCCUUUCUGCUCUUGUUGGCUUGCUUAGUAUACUGCUUCGUCUUCUCUUCAAUAUUCUUCUUUGCCUGCUCGUGUAUCUGUUGAACUAAUUCUGCCUUCUUCUUUCCAUCCAGACUAACUCUUUCAUUCAAAGGUAAAGGCAUCAAAUCCAAAGGAGUAGUGGGAUUGAACCCAUAAACAAUUUGAAAAGGUGAAAAUUUAGAGGCAGAAUGCAUAGAAUGAUUAUAUGCAAACUCAACAUGAGGCAAACAGUCCUCCCAAGUCUUUAGAUUCUUUUUAAUCAAUGCACGCAGGAGUGUAGACAAUGUCCUAUUAACUACCUCAGUCUGGCCAUCAGUUUGCGGGUGACAAGUAGUAGAGAACAACAACUUAGUUCCUAGCUUAGACCAAAGCGUUUUCCAGAAAUAACUAAGAAACUUAGUGUCUCUAUCAGAUACUAUGGUCUUAGGCAUGCCAUGUAGACGAACUAUUUCUUUAAAGAACAGGUUGGCUAUAUGCAUUGCAUCAUCAGUUUUAUGACAUGGAACGAAAUGUGCCAUCUUAGAAAAUCUAUCCACAACCACAAAAAUCGAAUCCUUACCUGUCCUAGUCCUUGGCAAACCUACUACAAAGUCCAUAGAAAUAUCAUUCCAAGGAUGCGAAGGAAUAGGAAGAGGAGUAUACAAACCGUGGGGUUGUGACUUAGCCUUAGCUUGUUUACAUGUCGGGCACCUUUCACACAUUCUUUCCACAUCUCUUUUCAUGUGCGGCCAGUGAAAGUGAUCUUGCAUGACUUUAAGAGUUUUUGAGACUCCAAAGUGUCCCAUUAAACCUCCACCGUGUGCUUCCCUUACAAACAGCUCUCUCAAAGAAGAAUUAGGAAUACACAAACGGUUAUCAUAAAACAAGAACCCGUCAUGUCUAUAAUACUUUCCAAAUGCAAAUUUCUCACAAGAUGAAUAUAUCUUUUCAAAAUCAGAAUCAUUUGCAUAAAGAGAUUUUAUAUGCUCAAACCCGAGUAACUUAGCAUCAAGAGAUGAGAGAAGAACAUACCUCCUUGACAAUGCAUCAGCAACUACAUUGUCCUUACCUUUUUUGUAUUUGAUGACAUAGGGGAAGGUCUCAAUGAAUUCAACUCACCUUGCAUGCCGCUUGUUGAGCUUUUGUUGUCCUUUAAGAUGCUUUAAGGACUCAUGAUCUGUGUGAAUGACAAACUCCUUAGGCCAGAGAUAAUGCUGCCAUGUCUGUAGUGCUCUCACCAAAGCGUAAAGCUCCUUGUCAUAAGUAGGAUAAUUGAGAGUAGCUCCUCCUAGCUUUUCACUGAAAUAAGCUAUUGGCUUCUUAUCCUGCAUUAAGACAGCACCAAUUCCUACCCCGGAGGCAUCACAUUCAAUCUCAAAAGUUUUAAUAAAAUCAGGAAGAGAUAAGACAGGGGCAUUAGUAAGCUUCUCUUUCAAAGCUUGGAAAGCAUCCUCUUGAGCCCGUUCCCACUUGAAUCCAACAUUCUUCUUGAUAACUUCAGUGAGAGGAGCUGCUAGAGUGCUAAAAUCCUUUACAAACCGCCUAUAGAAGCCAGCAAGUCCAUGGAAGCUUCUCACUUCUCCUACAGAUUUUGGGCUGGGCCAUUCACGGAUUGCCUUAACCUUUUCUUCGUCGACUUUUACUCCAUCUGUACUCACAACAAAACCUAAGAAGACAAGGUUAUCUGUUCCAAAAGUACAUUUCUUAAGGUUGGCAUAAAGCUUUUCCUUCCUAAGGACUUCUAGAACCAUUUUCAGAUGAUCUACAUGCUCUUCUAGACUCUUGCUGUAGACUAGGAUAUCAUCAAAGUACACUACAACGAAAUGUCCUAUAUAAGCUCUAAGAACAUGAUUCAUCAGCAUCAUGAAUGUACUAGGUGCAUUUGUCAGCCCGAAUGGCAUCACUAACCAUUCAUACAACCCUUGCUUAGUCUUAAAUGCAGUUUUCCACUCAUCGCCUUCUUUCAUCCUAAUUUGAUGAUAUCCGCUUUUCAAAUCUACUUUAGAAAAGAUGCUAGAACCAUGCAAUUCGUCUAACAUGUCAUCUAAUCUAGGUAUAGGAUGGCGAUACUUCACUGUUAUAUUGUUGAUGGCUCUGCAGUCAACACACAUUCUCCAGCUUCCAUCCUUCUUAGGUACAAGCAAUACAGGUACAGCACAGGGACUCAUACUCUCACGAAUAUGACCUCUCUCCAUUAGCUCGGUUACUUGUUUUUCUAGCUCCUUGGUCUCCACAUGAUUAGUUUUGUAUGCUGGUCUGUUUGGCAAGGACGCUCCUGGAACAAAGUCUAUUUGGUGCUCAAUACCUCUGAUGGGUGGUAAACCUUGAGGAUUCUCCUCUGGGAACACAUCAGUAUAAUCCUGCAAUAGAAACUUAAUUUUGCUAGGAAUGGCCUGCUCAGGAUUAGUUAUGCUCACGAGAGUCUCUUUAAAAACAAAGAGUAAUUUAGAUGAAUGUAAAUCACUUCCCUUUUGCUUACUCUCGGUUAUCAUGAGGUUAGGUGAUUUUUCUUUCUGUUUCCUCCUCAUUUUCAUGCUCAACUGGUCAAGAUAUACCUCAUGCGGAGUCAUUGGAGCCAAUAUGGUUUUUUUGCCCUUGAACUCAAAGAUUUGACGAUUGGUGAAACCGUCAUGCAUUACUCUUCGGUCUGACUGCCAUGGUCUUCCCAAUAGAAUGUGACUAGCGUCCAUAGGCAGUAUGUCACACAAAAUUUCGUCCUCAUACUUUCCAAUAGACAAUGGUACCUUCACUUGUCUGCUCACGCUCAUUUCUCCAUCCUCAUUCAACCACUGCAGUUUGUAUGGCUUCGGAUGCUUCAGGACCUUUAAACCAAGUUUUUCCACCAUGGUCUCACUGGCAACGUUGGUGCAGCUUCCUCCAUCUAUGAUUAAACUACAGACCUUGUCAUUGACAAUACAUCUUGAGUGAAACAGAUUUUCUCUUUGCUCUUGCUCGUCUGUCUUAGCAAUAACACUCAAAGUCUUCAUGGCAACCAGCAGCUCUCCUUUAGAUGGCGCUUCACAGUCUUCUGAUGAUGAGUUCUCUUCUUGCUGCUCAUCCUCUGACUCUAUCUCACCAGUAUCUUUCAGUAUCAUGAUUCUCUUGUUUGAGCACUCACUAGCGUAAUGACCAUGUCCGUGACACUUAAAGCACUUGAUGUCUCUGGUUCUAGUCUCAACAGCUUUGCCCUUUCCUUUCUGAUCUUGAUCCUCAACCUUUGGCUUGACAAAGGGUUUGUAGUCUUUCUGAAAUCCUGAUCGCUCAUCUCUUUGGUAGCUAGGCUUUCCUGAACCAAAGCUAGGCUUUCCUGAACCAAAGCUAGGCUUAGAGCUUCUUCUCUUAAGUUGUUUCUCGAACAUGAUGGCUUUGUGUAGCAGCUCUUCUAGCUCCACGUAGUGCUGAACUUCUACUCUGUUAAUGAUAUCUCGGUUCAGACCUCCCAUGAAUCUAGACAUUGUAGCUUCUUCAUCUUCUUGAAUAUCUGCUCUCAACAUCAAUGUCUCCAUCUCUUUGUAGUAUUCUUCAACUGAUCUACUUCCUUGGACUAGAUUCCUCAAUCUAUUGUGUAGCUCUCUGUGGUAGUGACUGGGAACGAACCUCUUCCUCAUUAUAGUCUAUAUCUGAGUCCAUGUCUCAAUGGGAUAAUCUCCAGCACGUCUUCUUAUGGUGACCAAUUGAUCCACCAACUCAAUGCGUAGUUCUGGAACCCUGUUGGUGCUAAUUUCACUUUACGCUCCUCUGUAUAACCUUGACAACCGAAUACUAUCUCAAUCUUCUUUUCCCAUUCUAAGUACUCUUCAGGGUCACUGGUUCCCUGGAAAGAAGGAAUCCGUAUCUUCAAGCCAGCUAGGUCAUCUCUGGGUGGAGCUCUUUCUUCUCUGUGAUGUCUUCUCCUUCUAUGGCUGUUACGAGUAGAGGUUUGGCUGUAAUAGUUGUGUGCCGCCUCUUGAUCAGAAGGAUUUCUAGUAUCUCUGUUCUGUCUGCCCUGGGUUGAUCUCUCAUUAGCUUCAAACCUUUCGUCCAUCAUUUUUGCCAUGUUAGCAGUAAGAGUAGCUGUGAGAGUUGCUGUAAGAGCUUCCAGCAACAACUUGUUGUUCUGUACCUGACUGCUUUCUUCCUUGUCCUUAUCAGACAUGUCUGCAAUGAUCGAAACAAAGAAAACCAGUAAAGUGUUCCUUGUAAAUCGAGCAACAAACAAUAGAGUCUGAAAAUUCAAAACCCUAAAUAGCUUCUAUUGAACCCUAAUCGAGCAAGCAUGGAAGACGAAUCGUUUUGUUCCUAAUUACUAGAUCGAGUACGUAAUUAAAUAGUUCAGAACGUGAUCUAAACGAUUUAACAAGUUUCAUACAGGUCGGAUAAGUAUUCAAGCCUAGAACGAUGAAACAAUUUCGCAAGAACAAAACAGAAGAUGAACAGUUUAGAUUGAUACAACCUGACACGAAGUAGCUCUGAUACCACUUAAUAUGAUCUUGGUCGAAGAUCUAUGUCCCUUGAAUACACUUCGUGAGGUUGAACGAAAACAGUUUGCGGAUUGACUGUUUUAGAGAGGUGGAGAUCGAGUAGGCGAUCUGGUGGACGUGUUCGAGUGGUCUAGUGAGUGUACUCGAGUAGUCUGGUGAGUGUACUCGAGUAGGUCUGUUCGAGUGGAUCUGGUGGAGUGAAACGAGUGAGAUCGAGUGGUGAAGAAGAUGAGGGGUCGAAUAGAACUUCCAAAGGCUGCGGGAUUCCUUUGAACUUCCAGGCUUGAUUCUGCUUGGAUAUGACACACCAAGAGCAGUUUCAAGAUGAGAUCGUGAUAUUACACACACAAACUCAAGAUCAAACGAAUUCAGAAAGAGUUUUUGAUAAGAAAAUGUUUGAUGAUGUUUACAAUGGAGGAGAACCGAAUAUAAAGAAGAAGAAGAGAGUCUAGGGAGUUGAAGAGUUCACCUAGGGAAAGAAAAACGAAAUAAACACACAAGACUAAGUUUAAAAUCGAAAUGGGCUCCUCCAUGCAGAUGGGCUCUGAGACAGCAAUGGGCUUGAGUAAAAGAGUGUGUGGGCUUGCCUCAUUAAAAACCUCUCUUGGAAAACCCAUUGGGACAAAACCAAGAGGAGGGAAAAAGAGUGCAAGUCACACACCUCCAUUGCUGUCGCUUAAACGGCUUGAAUCACAACCAGUGUGGUUGGACAAGCUUCUGGUUUAAGGCUGCCCUCAAUGUGUUGUAGAAGUGUGUUGAUAGCUUGAUUCAACUGCUUAGUCCUUGAUCUCGUCAUUGGUCCAGUAGCGACUUGCAAUGCAACGUCCUCUUUAGCUCCAAGAACUUCAUCUCCAUGCUCCUUAUCUCCAUGCUCGAUCAAGUGUUCCUCUGGUGCAAUGUCCUGCUCGAUCACGUCUCCUGCUUGGUGGUCGAGUAUGUCCUCUGGUACAUGCUGAUCCUUAGCUCCAUGAUCCAAGCUUUCCAUUAUCACAUCAUGCUUAUACGAUGAUUGUGUUUUAGAUUUAUUAUAUUUUAAGAUCAAGUUAUUGAAAACGUAAGUUAAGAAAAUGCAAAUAUAGUAAGAGAUCUACUCACUUCGUUUGACAUGUAGAUUUGCUAUCUCUCUAAACAGUUACUUUUGACAUGAAGAAACUUUAGCACCUAUUGAACUGUGCAGAAAUAGAUGUAAUAAUCGGGCGACAUAACUGGAGAAUGGAAUUUGUAAUAUGAACCUGCAAUGUGAAAUAGAGAAUUUGAUGAACAUUAGAAACAACAAUGAACAAACUAAAUCAGAAUUGAGAAAUUCAAAAACAGAAAAUGUAAAAUGAAAGAUUUUGAAAUAAAUAAUUUGAUGAAAAGCUUAACCAUAAUUGAGAGAUACAAAAAACAGAAUUGUAAAUUGCAAAAAGAAGAUGAGACAUAAGAUUGAUGAAAGCAUGAAAUCAGAACAUAGGUUCCUCCAUAGUGAAGAAGAAUCAUACCUUUUUGCCAACUGUUUCUUUUCCUUCGUUUUCUUUUGACUCAAUCUCAUCUCCUUCGUUUUCUCCCUUCUCCGUGGAUCUAGGUUUUUGAAUUCUUGGGUUUUGAAUGGAGGACGAAGCAAAUAGAGGUUUCGUAUGAAUAUGAAUUUUUUAUCAAGUGAGAAUUAUAUUAGUGACACUUUGUUGAAUCUCAGAGAUCAUGGAAGAACAGUAGAGAUCGUGGGCAGUUGAAGGAUAUUGUUUCUGUCGUAAUUCUUUUUUUUUUCUUUUGAAGAGUAAAAGUUUUUUUUCGUUUUAGUGAAGAUAGAUAAAUAUGUAAUUUUUUUUUGUUUUUUUAUUUUUCCCACGAUCUUCCUUUUCUUUAAAAUUAGGGAAAUUACGUCUAAUGACAUUAAAAAGUCCACUAAUUAUUCUAAUGGCUUAGUGAACCAACUCUUUACUAGAAAGGCUUUAAAAAGUUUUAAAAAGACUUUAGACCCACCAUUAGGUUAGCUAAUUACAAAAACUGUCAUUUUGAAUUAAAAAUUUAUGAAAAUGAAACAAUUUAUAUCUCUUAAUAAAUGUCCGACAGAGAUUUGUUAUUUGUAAUCGUAUUUAUUGCGGCGAAGGUGGAUUUUGAGAAGGGCGGCGAAAACUCUCCGACGAAAAAAAAAACGGCGAAGGUAUGGAAUGUUAGGGUUUGUUAGCAUUUAAAUGUCUAUGGGUUAGUUGUAUUUGUCUAAAGAAGUGAAAUUCCCGUUUCAUUGUAGUGAAAUCGAAGUCGCGUAAAGUAAUUGACUGUGACGGAAAAACGGCGAAAGAGGUACUGUCAGUUUAAAUCUCGUAUUUCCGGCGACCCUUAAGGUUUUAUAUCUUCAGUUUGUUCAUAGAUUGAUAUAUCUAGAAAAGUUGUUUCUUUAUGAGAUUGGUUUUGCAAAAUCGAAGGUAUUUAAAGAGAAGAAUUGCGUUGAUUAGUAGGUUUAGGAAAAAUAUUUCAAAUGAAUGGAUGGUGUACUGAUUUUGUUAGGUAUAUGAAGUGAUAUGGGUUUUAUAUGGCGGGUGUUUUGUAAAAUUAUACACUUUAAACAAUAUAGUGACAGCUACUUCUAAUGAUAGAGUUAUGUAAGUUUGAAAGCUAAUAGUGACAGAGAAAUAUUAUGAUAAAUGUGCAGAAAGAGUUAGAUAUAUGUGGUGUAAACAGAGUAAUGAAGUACUAAAUGUGGUAUGUAUUUUCUUGUCAUGUGUUAUUUGCAGAUGGAGUCUAGUUCAAGUAUUCCAAAGAGUAAUUAUCCUCCACGACUGUAUAGAGAAGGGAAAUCUCCUAUACAGACAAGAAGCAUGCACCACAACUGCACUGUGAGUAGUAUUGCAACAAUGAAGGAUUUCAUUGGAGAUAGAGCAUAUGCAGAGAUUCGUGACAAUAGUCAAUUAGGUGUGUUACUGAAGUUGGCUGAUAGUGAGUACGUUUGGUGUUCUAACACAGUGCAUCACUUUCUGAGUAAUCAGUUGGCGAUAGAAAGUGGGUAUGAGAUUUAGAGUUUGAUAGAAGGAUAUCCUCUCAGGUUUUCACUCCAUGAAUUCUCUGAUAUUACCGGCCUAAACUGUGAUGCAAUAGAUGAAAAAGAUAAAGUGGAUGUUGAUCACAGCGAAUUUUGGGCAGAGUUAGAAGUAGAUGCAAGUAAGGGACCAAACUGGAAAGAGCUGAAUGCGGCGCUAAAAAAAUGUAGGGGUUGGAGCUAUGAGAAACGAAAAAUGCUUGGGAUGUUGUUUGUGUUGAAUGUUGGUAUAUUGGGGAAAUCAAGGUCUAGUAGGAUUCCAUUGGGGUAUGCUAAAAGGGUAUUUGAUUCAGAGGCUUUUGAGAGGUAUCCAUGGGGACGAGUUGGUUUUAAGAGCUUAAUAGAGUCAAUCAAGGUGGUUUCUUAUGAGAAUGGAUCCUAUGUAGUGCAUGGUUGUGUUCAUGCUUUGUUGAUUUGGGCAUUUGAAAGUGUAUCUGCUUUGGGGCAGAAGUAUGGUAAUCCAAUUGAGGGAGAUAAUGUGCCUCUUCUAAGCUGGAAAGGGGGUCGUCCAAGAUGUUGUAUUGGUGACUUCUUAGCGAGGGAAAAGAAGUUACAUAAGAAGGUAAAAACCUUAAUGCCUAUGGUUUUUGACUUCUAUUACAUGUUUAUGUAAAUAAUCUUGAGUUGUAAUACAUGUUUCUGUGACUUGAUUUGUAGUUGGAUGUGCAACAUAUGGUUGUGCAAUCUGAGGAGGACCUUUAUCCAAAUUGGCCUGACGAGAAAGCUGUCUACGGUGAAGGGGAAGGUGCUUGGGAAUUGUUGGAUAACUUGAUGCAUGAUAUCAUGUUAGGACGUGUAGAUGGAAAGUUUUGGGAAGAGGUUCCUAGGAAGAAAAAAGGAAAGAGGAAAGCGGUAGUUGAGGAGACGCAAGAUGACUUUGUUGACCCACCGCCAAAGAAGCAGAAGCAACAAAGUGAAAAGAGAUCAAAAGGAGGUGAUUCAGUAUCUGGUGGAGGGUCAGUUGGUGAAGUUUUGAAUAUGAUGACUGCAUUGGUUGGUAAAAUGGAUACAAUGCAGUCCAAAAUCGAUGGUAGAUUUGAUGGUCUUACAGAGACAGUGGGAGGGAUAGAGAAAAAGGUUAUAGAUCUUGAGAAGGAAGUUCAGAUGCUGAAGACAAGCCGUAAUGAGAAAAAAGGUGAUGAAGAAGGUUCAGUGAACAAGGUAUGAAAUUGUUAAUUAGUGUUUGGCAAUGAUGAAUAUAGUUCAUCUAUAUUUCAUAGUUUUCAUAUUGAAAAAUGAUUUUUUAUGGUGCAGACAACUUCUUAGUUGGUGGGGGAACACAAUUUGAAUACUGUGGGAAGUAUUUGAAGAUGUAUUUCAUUGUUGUUAGUGUUUUGUUUUUUUUAAAUCUACUAUACCAUAUAAUGCAGUUGGAAGACUGAAUUUUUAAAAAAAUUUAUGUUGGGAACCUUAAAUUUAUUUGUUUAAUGUUGUGGACCUUUUAGGUUAACAACAAGCUAGAAACACAUUUGAUGUUAUGUAUACAACACUGUUUUUCUGAUCCUUAUUACAAGCAUGUAUAUUAUUUUACCGAUGUCUUACAAGAUAAAUUUUUUUGUAGUCAUGGUCUGUACAGAUGAAGGAAACAUCUCAAGAAGGGUUUCCAAUUUCUUGCGUCGUACGGAAACCAAGCCAUGUUUCUAAGGCUAAAGCAGGAUUUAAUACAAGCCUUAGACGAGAGGAUCUUUUUCAGUCAAAGUAUGUUAACGCUAGUGUUAAGGAGCCGUUUUCUGCUGCGGCUACAAACUCUAAAUCUGGUUUGCAGAAAUCCGUGACACCGAAAUCAAUUGGGCCUCACAGCUCUGUCAAGAAGAAAGGCAUAAAAACAGAACCUAUUGACCCUCUUGACUCCGUCAGUCCUGUCUGUAAGACCAAGACUACUCCUGGGGUGGAUAUGGCAGAACUGUCUGAAGGUUCUGAUUCAAGUGAGAAUAAACGGAACAAGGCUUUAAAUGGAGCACUCGAUGACUUGCUUCGACUAUGUAAGAAAGACGACUUUGUAUCCCGGGUUCCUAGGCAGAAAAACCUUGCUUCAACACAAGUUCACCCAUUCAUCGGAAGUUCAUUGGUUAAGCGUAUACUGCGGGGUAAGACGCUGUCCCCUACAGUUUACGAUCCGUUUGAAAAGGCGACACAAUUGUCGGUGGAUAUGCUAGUUGCCUUCAUUCGACAUGAUCUGUAAGUACAGCUUUUGUUUUAAAACAUUUGGUUUGUUAAAUCUCUGUCAUUGAUUGGCUUUACUGUUUACAUUUACUAUAGGGAUAACCCAUUAGAGACAAGCAACGGUGCAGCUAACUUCUAUUUGAGGAUAAUGACACCUAAAGAGGAAUGGCCUGUAGGAGAUGAGUGCUACGGAUGGCUGAAAGAUGCGGUAUGUUCAAUUGGGCCUACUAUAAUUGAGGAUUUUAUUUGAAUACGAGGACAGAUUAAUUAACACAUACCAUAUAUCAAAACUGUAGCAUUUAUGCCCUGCAAUGCAAUUGCUCCGGAAGCGGUCUAUGCAACCAGUUACUCCGUUCAUCACUGAUAGGCUUGCCUUCUUAGAUUCAUGGUUUGUCAAUCAAUGGGCUCAUGAUUACAAGAAGUGGGAUAGUGAUAAGAAGUGGUUUUUUCCGGAAGAGUAUUUCAAGGUCUAUUCUGGCCUAUCUCCCUCAUUUGGAAUUACUAACAAAAAAUGGGUAGAAGAUGUAGAUUUUGUGUACUUAGCUCAUAACAUCAACAACAACCACUGGAUUGCUCUUGAAGUGGACUUACAAAGGCGCCGGAUAAAAGCAUAUGACAGCAUCUUGAAUGCUUACACCGACGAAGAAGUGUAUGAGUCAUGUAAGCCAUACACACACACGAAUGAUUCCUGCUUUGUUGCAGACUAUGGCUCCACCAGGUAAAAAAAAACAUUAGGCGCAGCCGCAUUCUCUUUCUACAGGGUGAAAUCUGCCCCUCAAAACAUACAAGAAGGGGAUUGUGGCAUUUACUCUUUUAAAUACAUAGAGUGUUUAGCUCUAGGACUCACUUUUGAGGGAUUAAGUGAUGCUGCAAUGCCAUGGCUCCGCAUGAAGCUUGCUAGUGACGUACUGACUGAAGUGCUUGGAAUUGAUUGCUUCAUCCAAAUGUCUGACCCAAACCCGCGACACGCUGAAUCUGGUGGUGUGCAGUUCAUCUCUGAGACGAAGUAGUAAAAGUGGAAGAUAAUGGUUGGUCUUUAUUUUUUGGUGUUCUUUUCGCUACACUUAUUCAGAUCACUUUUGGUUGGGUAUAACCAAGUUGCAUGUUCUAUAGUUUGACCUAUGAACUUGCAACUUUGUUAUUUCUUCCUGGUACAAGUAACCAUUUUUUGUGUUGUAAGAAGCUAAUUUGGUGGUUGACUCGAAUUUGGUUUUUCACUCUAAUUUGGUUAACCCAUUUUUCGGGACCAUGUGUAUUCAAACACGGGCUUUGUGAUUUCAAUGAAAUUACACUUUCAUUUGACCCUUUUUUUAACGUACGUAAUAUAUGAAAUAUUCAUAUAUGGUGAGGACAAAAGAUGGGAAAGGAAAUAAUCGAUAAUAGUAGCCAUAAUUGUCCUAGAGUGCCUAGAGAACCCAAAACGUCACCAAUGUCAAUCAAUAGAAACCGCCAGAUAAAAAGUCAUGAUUACGUUCUCUCUUUGAAGCCGCUUCGUUUGCCUAUAUUUCUAGGGAACCGAAGACUAAAUUAUUGUAUCUCCAAACAAAAUAUCAAUAUCAACAAAGCCAAACAAACACAAUAACUCUUCAAACAGCAUGGAUUUAAUCUCCGACUUGAGUAUGGCGAGGACAAACUGGGGGAUUCAUGUCAAGAUUCUGGCUCUGUGGAACAAUCCCUCAAGAGGAAUUAUCUUGGAAAAAUGAAUGAUUGUGGUUGACGUGAAGGUUAGAGUUAUCUGUGUUUAUACAAGAUUGAUUUAGUUAAAUUUUGGGUAACCUAAAUUCUUGAAACUGCUGUGAUGUAGGGAAAUUACAUCGAAGUAAUUGUUCCAAACAGGACCUACAGAAAAGCUUUUGUCCAGAAUCUUUCAGAGGGUAAAUGGUUUUACCUUGAAAACUUUCAUGUUUUCCCUUCUAAAUCCACAUGUUUCGCUCUCAAUACCUAUGAAAUACGGUGUAUGUGGGAGACGAAGAUGGUUUCCGUCUCUGACAAAACAAGCAACAACUUCUAUAACUUCGUUUUCCCUAGCGAAGUUGAAAAUGCGUAGGAUGUCCAAUUUCAUCAUGUUACUGGUAAUAAAUACACCUGAUUGUGUAGAUUUUUCAAAAUCUAUAUUCCGGCUACUUGAACGAUUACGUUUUUGCAUGUUUCAGAUGUUGUUGGCGUGGUUGUGAGUCUGUCUCCCAUACGAAGAAUCCCGUUUGUCUGCCGUGAAAACGAAACAGAUUACAGUGCUAGAUAUGUAAAACUCACAAUCAAGGACAAUAUGUAAGCCUGUCAAUUAGGGUUUUUUUAACAUUUUUUCUUAUUUUGUUCAUUAUGUGAGUGAAAGUUUGCGAAUUAUUUAUGUUCUUAUAUGUGUCUACCUACAAUGGGGAAUUAUCUAUGUUCUUAUAUGUGUCUGGCUACAAUGGGGAAUUAUCUAUGUUCUUAUAUGUGUCUUGAUAAAUAGGGGAAAUCGCACAACUUGUAUUGCUUUGGGAGAAUGUUGUGAGACGGUUGUGAAGAAGGUCUCAACGAUCCUGAGUUCCCGCAGUUACAAUUAUCAGCCAAUAGUGGCUAUGAUGCGAUUCUGGCGGGUUCAGGCGUUUGAAGGUGAGUCCCUAUCUUACUUUAUUAUCCCUAUAAAAUUAUGUCGCAUUUAACAUUGGUGUUCUUUUUUGUUUUAGGUAAAAAUGUCGUCAUGAGCGUUGAUGAUUGUGCUAGGGUUUACAUCAACCCGAGAUUUGAAGACUUUGACUUGGAAGGAUACAUGUAAGUAGCAUUUCCUAUUAUAGAUUGCCACGUUAGAUAAGUUACAUUUAUAUAUAGAGAGAAGAGAGUAAUCCAUGUUAUGUUUUGUUUCUUGAAUACAGUCGAAGCUUCGCAGACCCGGAAUCUGAUGCUGUUUACAUGGAGGAGGUUGCGUCUAACUAAGGGAUGGAACGCUCUUUGGGAUGCUGGGCUAUGAAAUCCACCUUAUGUUUGGUCAUUGUUUCUCCCUACUUCUAAGUCUCAAACUUGUUUCGCUAUGUUAUGGUUAACAAGCUUUUGGUUUUGACUAAAACAAUAUGUUCCGUUUGUUUAUUGCCCUAUUAUAAUCGGUUCUUUGUUUGCUUAUAUCUACUACAAUGAAUCACAAUGUAGAUAAGUCUAACAAUAACAUUUAUUCACCGUAAUCAUAAGUUCAACAUGAUAGAAAGUGGUUAUAUGGUUUAAUUACAAAUUCUACGAAAUGACUAGAAUGGAAAAUUAGAAACCAAAAACAAUUUGGUUACUUCCCUUCUGAAUCACAAUGUAGUAAAUUACAAACACAACCAGAGCAAAAACACAAACAAGACUGAUCUUGUUCUUGAUCUUCGCUUUGUGUAAUUCCUUUUUGCACCAACCCAUCUCUUCUUUCAGAUUACCGACCAUCUCUUUUACCUCAUCACCUACGAUCCUCAUAUACACAAUCUCCGAUUCUCUCUGCAAUAAGUCUUGAACCUCUUCAUACAUUCCUUCUUCCACCCACUUAAACAAAUGACCAUCCUUUGAUACACAAAAAUAGUAAUAAGAAUAAUAUCACAAAGUUGUUGCAAAUCAACGGUAGUAGAGUAAGAAGGAAAUAAAAGUAAUGAUUUAGGAGCUUACAGCUCUCGAAGCAGCACAUCGGAAAUUAGGCCGACCGGGAUUCAGUUUUGAUUGAGAUGUGAAAAGAUAUACAUUACUGCCACACACACAAUAUUUCGGAAAUCCUCUUUCAUUUGAGCAAUUGUUAAUUGAGUUACAACUUAACUCAUCCUAUGAAACAAGGAAUCAUCAGAAGUUAUGAAAAACCUAAAUAAAUCGUUGUUAUUCAUAAAAAUGUCUGAUAGGUACGAAAAUAAAUUAAUUACUUAUAGAUCCAGAGGUUUCGGGGUUCGAUUUGAUGUUUUUCGUGUUUUUCAUCGGUUCAAAUGCACUCGAGCAAUCGUCCUUCGCUUCUGGGUUUGUCGGAAAGCGGCUAGGGUUCUUAUUCAACGAGUUGGGGAUAUUUGUUGGUUUUCUCUCUCUCGGUUAAAUAGCCACAUUAUUCGUCUCUACUAGUCUUUCAACGUUGACUAAAAAAAGGGUCCAUUAAAUCGUUGACUUAAAAGUGGGCACGUGGGAUUUACUAUUUUUUCCUCUUUAGUACAAACACUACGAUUAACAAAAAAGAGCAUUAAUCUCUGUGAAAGAGUGUCUUUUACUAACACACAUAAACCCAACAAAUAUAAUACGAAGACAGCAUAAAAUAUUGUCUUACACAUAACCAACAAAAUAUUACGCAAACAUUAACACAUUAAACGAAAGAUAUUAGCAUAAUAGUAGGCGAAACAAUGUUUGCAUACGACUAUAUUGUCAUCGUGUUAAAGGCAACACAGAGGACAAAUCUCGAAAUGGAAUGUUCUGUAGAAAACCCGAUAACCUAAAAUUCCCAUGGAUCUUGCUUGUUCUACCACUUCGUUACCGAUUAUGACAGCUGCCUCAAGUGUUGGAAACUUUCGCAAAAAAUAUUUAUUUACAAGCAUACCUUCUUUUAAAGCUCCACAGCAUAUGAGUAGUAUCCCAUAUGCAAAAUGUGCAUAUAUCGACUCGCCAACACAUUGACUUAGCAUAUCUAGGGCAGCUUGUGAAGGACCUACUUGAGUCAAAAUCCUCAACGCUUCAACAUAUUUUGCAACAGGAUGACCUACUUCGAGGCACUUUAAUAAAAAAGUCCUGUAACUCGCCUGAACAUUAGCAAGCCUUCCAUUAAAAAUAAAUUCAUCAAUAUCAACAUUCUCUGAUAAUAGGAUUUUACUCUAACAAGUAUCAAUCCCUAAUACACAUGCCAUUGUAGUAUAUUAGGUUAUCAAUCCAAUCUCAGUGUGACUGCAAGCAUUCAAGAUAUGAAACAGAAAGCAAAUAAGUCAAGCCAAUUAUGAAACGGUUUUGUGUGUUUCUAUUGAUCCUAAGCAACCAAUUUAACAUGCAAAUACCGAAUUUAAAAGCAUAAAAAGAGAACUAAACAGCAAGUAAACAAGGACAAGAAGUAAACUAAAGACCAGAAACUAUCAUGCAAAAGCUUUGGAAAAGAAACUAACAACCUAACAAUGCAGAGAAGCGCUCUAGGCCUAACAGGUCGAGUAGAACACAAAGACUGACAGAAACAAGAUUUAAACAAUCAAUAGAGAUAAAAGGUCCUGAGGAAUGGGGUAAUCGAUUAUGGCAGUCUCCUUAGUCUACCUAGGUGGUUAACAAACUCAAUCAAGCUAUCCCUAGAUAAUAGAUUCGAAUACAAAUCAAUCCACUCUCGUGACAGAGAUUCUCAAGCUAAAUCACUUUCAUACUCAAUUCUCAUUGAAGAAAUAUAACCUAGCAGGCAUUAUGAUUCAAUCUAAUCAAGUCAAUAAGCAUUCUAAACAUCCAAUCUCUUGGGCUAGAGUAUGCAAAUCUCUGGAAUAGUUGGUUCAGACAUUUCAUCAAACACCUUUUGGGUGUGGAAAUGUCUGAGAUCAACUUCCAAUUGAUCAAAGAGGAAAUAGCAUUAAGAUCUACUAAACCAGAAGGGAAAUCAAGCAAUUCUACACUUAACCACCUAAAUAUACUAAGGAUUCCACACCUAAUCUAUCCCAUCCUCAAGAACCCUAAUCCACUACUCAAGAACACUGAAGAACAUCAUGCAUAAAAACCCAGAAAACGUUUCAAACCCAGAAAUCAUUGAAAAGAAAGUAUGUUAUAGAUAAGAGACAGAUCUACAACUUUGAUGAAGAAAAGAAAUGCAAAAACUCAAAGGAUCCACAGGAAAAACGAUUACAAAAACUAGGGUUUAUGAGAGAACAGCGGAAUAUCUGCUGGGUAAAAGGAAUAUUCGCUGGACAAUAGCAUGUACCCCUAUUUAUAGGAAAUACUAGGUUGCCCUAAUUGGCUACAGGACAAAAUAGAGAGUCGGUGGAGGCCAACUCGACGUGACGUCGAGCCUGCCACGUCGAGUCCAUGUGAUCUUCAAAGGUGGCGCCUUGACGUCCAACUCGACGUGACGUCGAGCCUGCGUGGUCGAGUCUGCUCCCAGUCGGCUUCCUGGCAUCCUACUCGACGUGUCAUCGAGCCAUGACGUCGAGUCUGCUCCUGGGUGAUCUUGAACGACUUCAUUCCUCUCCAAUUCGAUCCCAAGUCUAGCUCCAAGGUCGUGUUGGUUCCUCCUUGCUCCAUUAAGUCCCAAAUAAGCUCCAAAGUACCUAAAACUCAUCCAAUAUGCAACAUGCUAUGCCAUGCAAUGCAAAUCGUACUAAGUGAUGAAAAUAUUAUGAAAAAGGACUAUUAAUGUAGUGAAACAGAGAGAAAACUAAGCUAAAUGCAUAAGAAAUGUGUGCUAAAAAGAGGUAAAAUACAGAGAUAUCAACUCCCCCAAACUUAGCUCUUGCUUGCCCUCAAGCAAACAAAUAGAACCAAGCUGGAGAAGAGGUUUGAAAGUGGAGACUCAGAACCAAAACAUGCAUAUAGAGUAAGUGAAUUCAAUGUCCAGGUUGCUAAUUCUAGAGUGCAAGGUUGACUGAUCUCUACUUAAAAACAUUAGCCAUCUUCUUCACAUUUCAACCUAACCUCUGCCUUAAUCAAAUCAAGCAUUCAAAUCUGCACAUUCCCUUUAACAUUUAUUAAGUAGGAACCGUGAAUCAUACUAUACAAUGGAUAUGAACACAUUUGGCUAAAGGGUAAAGGUUUAGAGACAAAGAUGGUCCCUUAAAGAUCUGGUUUAAAUCGCAACAGGGGAUCUCUCAAGAAAGAUUGAACUUUAGUAGAAUGCUAAAGGUGAGUAUCAAGUUAUGCAUACAAGGAUAAGACCCCAUCUACCCAGAAUGUAAUCAAUAUCAACCCAAAUAGAGGUCCUAUUUCUAAUCCCAGAAUCAUGAACUUAACUCUACCCUUUUGCACUCAAAGCAUUUACAGACUUUUACUCACAUCAUUCCUUUCUUUUCUUUGCUUUCUAUCCUAGGAGAAGCUUUCUUACUGCUCUGUCUAGCGGAUCAGGUUUCUUUAACAACUAGGGUUCCCUUUUCUUUCUUCUUAUAAACACAAGGCUUUUGCCCAAACUCUUUAAGCUAUUUACAGAACCCUUUUUCCUUUACUUUAGCACACCCAAAUCCUUUACUAGACUUCUCUUACUUUAGCUACUUCUCCUAAGAACUCUUUUCCCUUUUCUUUUCUUUCAAUGAUGAACACAACCUUUUCUUUCUUUUAAACACAACCCAAACCCAGAAUUAAGCACCCACCUAGUCCUAUCUGGUCCAGAUAACGUGAACCAGAACUACAUGAGAUACUAUCCUUGUCGUUACAGACCUAACACUUUCUACCAAGCUCAAUCGAAACAAGGCCUCGCAUUCACACACAAAUGAUAAAUGGCUUGAAAGAAGGUUAAGGCUAAGGGUGGGGAAUAACUGCUCCAAAGAUGGGAGUCAGCUACUUGGACUAGCAAGAGUGAUCAAAAGGUAAAAGAAAGUCCAAGUAUUUUAAGGUAUCCAUGAGUUCAUAGCACAAUGCACAGCAUGAUAAUUAUAAGUCAAAAUUCAAGUUCAAAUUGAUAGGGAAUGACAUCAGAUCAAAGCGAGUUUCGACUAAGAACAAGAAAAUCAAGCGUUGAAUUCAAAAGAUGGUGUGGUCUUACUUCAAGUUCAGUCGAUUAUGCAUUAGAGAACUAACAACCAGGGCACUGAGUUCUACUUAGUGAAUAAGCAUAUUUACAAGGUUAUAAUCAUCAUAAUCUCCAAUGCAAAUGCAUGAUGCAGCAGUCCUAAAUGAAAGCAUACUAAAACAAUCCUAAAAUGACAAUGCAAGCUAUAUGAACACUCUGUUUUUAUGAAAUCAUUUUCGAAAAAUUUCAAAUUUUUAUGGUUUUUCUAUGCCUUAGAUGCAAUGAUGCAAAAUUUGAAAUAAGAAAACAAAACGCAAUGUCAAAUACUCCCUGAGCCCUCCCCCAAACUUAAAUUACACAGUCCUCUGUGUAACAAGCAUUUGGAAGAGAGUACUCAGGGCAAACCAACAGAGAAACAAAAUGAAAUGUGGUAUAUACAUUGGUGAAUUGGAGUUGUUACCUCAUGGAUGGGUGAAGAAGGAGGUGAUUGACCUGGUACUGGUGGGCUUCAUGGGCUAACUCGACGUCUCAUCGAGGAGGUACGUCGAGUAGGGCUUCGGUUUUGGUUUGGAGUGACACCAAGGGGCAAGCUCGACUUCACGUCGAGGAGGGCAGGUCGAGACAAGGCCACCCAUUCUGUUUUGCGCCUUGGCUUCCUUAAAACGCUUAAUCCUGAGACACUUAAGCAAAAACAUCAAAAAUAACAAGGAAAUAACUAAUAUUUACAAGGAUAGACAUGGGACUUCCUCCCAAGUGAGCUUGUUUAAAGUCUUUAGCUUGACUUCUCACAGUGAAUAAGCUUAGGGUGGAUUGUAGAGAGCAAAUGAGGUCUCAUCUGUUCUGCAGGUGGAUGAAUCAUCUGGCUUAGCAGGCUCUCUUGACAAAUCUGCAGUUGAGUACUCAAUGGCCCUUUUCUCAUAGUAAGCUUCUUGUUGAUCAACUAGAUAGUCUUCUGCUAUAGACCAUUCUGAAGUGAAUUCACUCCCCUUUGUGCUGACCAGAGUAGACGCUUCAUCAUUUGGGAUGUCCUUGAUUUGGAGUGGUACUUGGUUGGCUAUCCCAUGGAGCUUCUUGAUUUGAUCCUUCAGCUCCCUCACAGUGCAUGUUAGCUCCCUUAUGGCUUUAUCCUGCCAUUUGGACCUCUCCUUGAGUUCUAACCAGCCAUCUGGAGCAGAAUUGCUAGACUCUAGCAGCUUAUCACAAUGUUUGGUCGAGCUAGAGUUCUCCAAACUAGUUGAAGGCUUGCUCAAAUGUAUACUCGAGUCAGUUGGUUGAGCAUGGGUUGAGCUUGCUUCAAAUGCCACCUUAACCUCUGUUUCUAGCUCAAUCAAGCCUUUAAAGACCUCUGACCCUACUACUUCCUUGUGUGAGUCUAGUGACUUACCACAUCUCAAGGUUUCAGUGAGAAGAUAUCCUGCUUCACCACUCUUAGUCAAAGAAGUUUUUUGGUGAUCUUCCUCAGCAACCUCCUCUAGCUGUUCAUCAGCUAGGCAAUCCAUUACCUUAACUACGAAGGUCUGUCCUUCAAUUGUUGGCUUCCUCGUGGCAUCAUUGAUGUCAAACUUCAUUGUGAAAUCAUUUCCCAGAUUAAGAUCAAUCUUCCCAUUCUUAACAUCAAUGACAGCUCCAGCAGUGGCUAAGAAGGGCCUUCCUAGGAUUAAAGGAUCUUUUGGUUCAUCCAUUUCUAGCACUAUGAAGUCUGUAGGGAUUUCAGCAUUUCCAAUCUUAAUAGGCAAAUCUUCUAAUAACCCAUGAGGAAAUCUGAUAGACUCAUCAGCCAGGAUCAAGGAGAUGUUGCAAGGUUUAUACUUGCUGAAACCCAGUCUCUUGGCCACGGAGAGAGGCAUGAGACUUUUAAAAGCACCUAGAUCGCAGAGGCAGUUACUGAAAGCUAAAGUGCCUAGAGAGCAAGGUAAAGUAAACGAACCAGGAUCUCCCAAUUUCUUGGGAAUAAUCUUCGUUUGGAUGAUUUCACUGCACUCAUGACUCUCCAUCCCUUGCACUUCCUUAAUUCUCUCCAUUACCAUGUCUUUGAAGUACUUGUGAGAAUCCGGAAUCAGCAUGAAAGCAUCAAUGAGAGGCAUCCUUAAUUCAAUCUCCUUGAUGUGUUUAGCAAACAUGGCUCUGUACUUCUCAAUGAUAUCCCUCUUGAAUCUUCCUGGGAAUGGUAUUUUGGGCUUGUAGGGUGGUGGGAUAAAAGCUUUCUUCUUACCCUUAUCAACAGUUGGUUUUUCGAUUUGGGGACUCUUAGCUUGAUCUCUAGGUACAACAUCUUGGUCAAGCUUAGUGGUGUCUUCUAUUUGGGUUUCAUUCUGAAUAGAAUCCUCCCCUUCCUGAAUCUCACUGUCCUCAGUGACAGAAGCUUGGUUAGGUCGAGCUCGCAGCUCUCGACCACUGCGGAGGUGAAUAGCAUUAACAUGACCUUUUUGAUGCUGAAUAGCUUUCCCUGGCAGUUUCCCUAGAUUCUGAGGCGCAGAAGUAGAGGCAAAUUGGCUCUCCAUGUACUUAAUCCUGGAGUUCAAAGCUUCAAACUUGAUAUUGAGAUCAUUGAAGGUGCAGUCUACUUUGUUUUGAAUCUCAGCCAUCUUCUUAUCACCAGCUACUUGGCCGUGUAGAAGCUGUUGAAGCAUUUGCUUCAUGUCUUGAUCUUGUGCAGGUGGAGCUUGUUGGGGUUGCUGUGCAAAACCGGGUGGUGGAUUAUAUUGUUGAUAACCGCCACUAAACUGCUGCUUUGGGACAAAGCCUUGAUUGUACGGUAUGAAUGGCUUGGACUGGUUCUGUUGUUGCUGAGGGUAAACCUGAUCUUGAGGGUUUGCAACAUUCGUGCUCCGGUAAGAUAGAUUAGGAUGAGCAGGCUGGUAGGGGUUGUAGCCCUUGUUGUAGCCACCUUGGUUCUGAACGUAGCUGCCUUCUGCAGCCUGAGUGUUCUCCCCCUCUUGGAUUUUAUAGUGCUCUUCUUCAGUGAUAUAGUGGACUGGUUUCUGGUUAGUAAGCAGAAAUUUAUCCAGCUUGUCGUUGAGAGCCUGAACCAUCUCCUUAGUAUGCUUUGCAUCCGGAUCUCCAAUACCUCUGUUGGAGCGAUCAAAAUCCUCAUUAUAGUUACCAUCAGAUAGAGCUAAGUUCUCUAUCAACUCCCAGCCUUCCUCAACAUCCUUAUUCAAGAAAUUCCCAUUAGAGGCAGUGUCUAGCAACAUUCUGAUCUUGGGCAAAACUCCCCUGUAGAGUGUGCUGAGUAGUGAAGCCUUCUUGAAACCAUGGUGUGGACACUGUAUAGUGUAGCCUUUGAAUCUCUCCCAGGCCUCACAAAUGGAUUCAGACUGCUUUUGAGUAAAACUGGAGAUUUCAUUUCGUAGACGUGCAGUUCUUGAAUUGGAGAAGAACUUUGUUAAGAAGGCCUUCUUGCAAUCGUCCCAAGAUGUGAUGGAGCCAGCAGGUAGUGUCUUCUCCCAGUGGUGUGCUUUGUCUCCCAGCGAGAAGGGAAACAGACGCAGCUUGAAGCUGUCUUCACUAACACCAUUGAUCUUGGUGAGGCUGCAGAGCCUAUCAAAAUUAUCCAAGUGAUCCAAGGGAUCUUCCAGAGGCAACCCAUGAAACUUGUUACCUUGAAUCAUUGAGAUCAAUCCACUCUUGAUCUCGAAAUUGUUGUUCUGGACAGGAGGUGGAACGAUGCCCUGUCUCUGUUGAUGGUUGUGUGGUGCAUCACCAUCACCAAUGUUCCGUGGUAUACCAACUCCCUGAUUAUCUUGAUCUUGUGGUUCCAUGGCUACUGGAGUGUGCGGUUCACAGUUGUCUCUGGCUCUACCUUCUCUUAACUCACGAGCUAACUGGUUGAUGUUGUCUUUGUAGCUGAUGAGGUUGUUGGAGCCUUUAGAUCGAGUUUGCAUGCAAAGUGGUCAGACUCGAUAUGGCAGUCUCGACGUGAGGUCGAGAUGGUACCUGGAGCACAAAAACAAGCAUAUGAAAUGAAGAGUUAGUAACCAAGGUAAAGAAAGAACUUGAUCUUAAACGUUUCUGAAAUCUUAAAUGGAACAAUGCAACACAAGACUGGCAACGGCGCCAAAUUGAUAAUAGGAUUUUACUCUAACAAGUAUCAAUCCCUAAUAGACAUGCCAUUGUAGUAUAUUAGGUUAUCAAUCCAAUCUCAGUGUGACUGCAAGCAUUCAAGAUAUGAAACAGAAAGCAAAUAAGUCAAGCCAAUUAUGAAAUGGUUUUGUGUGUUUCUAUUGAUCCUAAGCAACCAAUUUAACAUGCAAAUACCGAAUUUAAAAGCAUAAAAAGAGAACUAAACAGCAAGUAAACAAGGACAAGAAGUAAACUAAAGACCAGAAACUAUCAUGCAAAAGCUUUGGAAAAGAAACUAACAACCUAACAAUGCAGAGAAGCGCUCUAGGCCUAACAGGUCGAGUAGAACACAAAGACUGACAGAAACAAGAUUUAAACAAUCAAUAGAGAUAAAAGGUCCUGAGGAAUGGGGUAAUCGAUUAUGGCAGUCUCCUUAGUCUACCUAGAUGGUUAACAAACUCAAUCAAGCUAUCCCUAGACAAUAGAUUCGAAUACAAAUCAAUCCACUCUCGUGACAGAGAUUCUCAAGCUAAAUCACUUUCAUACUCAAUUCUCAUUGAAGAAAUAUAACCUAGCAGGCAUUAUGAUUCAAUCUAAUCAAGUCAAUAAGCAUUCUAAACAUCCAAUCUCUUGGGCUAGAGUAUGCAAAUCUCUGGAAUAGUUGGUUCAGACAUUUCAUCAAACACCUUUUGGGUGUGGAAAUGUCUGAGAUCAACUUCCAAUUGAUCAGAGAGGAAAUAGCAUUAAGAUCUACUAAACCAGAAGGGAAAUCAAGCAAUUCUACACUUAACCACCUAAAUAUACUAAGGAUUCCACACCUAAUCUAUCCCAUCCUCAAGAACCCUAAUCCACUACUCAAGAACACUGAAGAACAUCAUGCAUAAAAACCCAGAAAACGUUUCAAACCCAGAAAUCAUUGAAAAGAAAGUAUGUUAUAGAUAAGAGACAGAUCUACAACUUUGAUGAAGAAAAGAAAUGCAAAAACUCAAAGGAUCCACAGGAAAAACGAUUACAAAAACUAGGGUUUAUGAGAGAACAGCGGAAUAUCUGCUGGGUAAAAGGAAUAUUCGCUGGACAAUAGCAUGUACCCCUAUUUAUAGGAAAUACUAGGUUGCCCUAAUUGGCUACAGGACAAAAUAGAGAGUCGGUGGAGGCCAACUCGACGUGACGUCGAGCCUGCCACGUCGAGUCCAUGUGAUCUUCAAAGGUGGCGCCUUGACGUCCAACUCGACGUGACGUCGAGCCUGCGUGGUCGAGUCUGCUCCCAGUCGGCUUCCUGGCGUCCUACUCGACGUGUCAUCGAGCCAUGACGUCGAGUCUGCUCCUGGGUGAUCUUGAACGACUUCAUUCCUCUCCAAUUCGAUCCCAAGUCUAGCUCCAAGGUCGUGUUGGUUCCUCCUUGCUCCAUUAAGUCCCGAAUAAGCUCCAAAGUACCUAAAACUCAUCCAAUAUGCAACAUGCUAUGCCAUGUAAUGCAAAUCGUACUAAGUGAUGAAAAUCUUAUGAAAAAGGACUAUUAAUGUAGUGAAACAGAGAGGAAACUAAGCUAAAUGCAUAAGAAAUGUGUGCUAAAAAGAGGUAAAAUACAGAGAUAUCAUUCUCCAAAACCUCAGCCGUGUAAACUAGCUCAGUGUAGCCUGGUCCUGCAGCGAUAACCGGACCAAGGUAGCGGAAACCGUCUUUACCCAGCCGGCGGAAAAUGUUGCAAACAAUAGGAGUGGGAAGGUACGCCAUAUUUUCCUUUUGGUUAAGUUAUUUGAUAGGUGAAGUUAUGAGAACUUCGAAGCUCGUGUAACAACCCAAUGUAGUUAUAAAGAGGUGAAACAACAAAGAGAGUUCCCUCCAUAACCUAAUCUAUAAGUAUUUACUUAAGUUGGUGAGAUAAGACCUCCUUCGGAAUUUGUCAUAAGUUCAGUAGGUUGUAAACUAUAAUCUACAGCUUAAGUAGUUAUGAUGACAGAGUUUUAAGACAGACGAGACUUCAGUAGGUGAGCCAUAACUGCGUAAUGACAGAUUUUUUUAUGGAAUAACCGCACCGUACUCUACGGCUGACCUGACCUAAUGUUUUUUAUGGGACUCUGGUAAUAAGGGAUACAUUGCACAACUUAAAUACAUCCACACGUAAGUACAUCAAGAUAUCUAAAUAUUGGUUGGUGUUGGGCCUUUGUAAUAGUAAUGCAAACCCAAGGCCCAUUGUAUUGACUAUUUUCGGGAUGGGCCUUGUUAAACAAAACAUGUUGGGAUUGAAGGAUAAAGUCGCAUAUCUAGGGUUUUACUUUUAUACUCUAUCUCUGUUUUUAUCAUCGUCUCCUCCACUUUCCAGCUGCAAGGACAUAUUCAACAAUGUCCUACAUUCCAGCAGCAGUAAUGACAGAUAUAGUCCGUCGAGUUGGGAGUGAUGGAUUCCCGAAUCUUGGUCCUCUGAUCGCAGCCGGGCCAUUCUUUCAAGAAAUCGUCUUCUCCCGUGAUGUUUUGCUAGAUGUCGAUCUGGAUGAGGUCUUGUUCAACUCAAGGCUCGGUAGGGAAGAGUCCAUCUACCGACCGUUUCUUUUGAGAUGCGCAGCAGCAGGGCAUGAGGUUGCAAGAUAUUUAGAAGGACUUCGGCGUUUGACGCAAGAAGGACUGUCGGUGGAAGCAUUAGAGAUGCUUGGAGAAGUUGGAUACUCUUCCAUCUAUGCUACAUUUGCAUUUGCAGUUAUGCUCCUCUGUUGUGGUUCCUAUGACCAAGGUAUGGUCGUUACACGCACUUUUUUUAGCAGGAUUGAAACUUUGGAAGAGGCAAUCGCCGUAGCCGGCGUAGUAGAAGACCAAAUACGUCAUAUCGGACCAGCGGGUCGCAAUGUCUUUGACGGUUAUAUUCAUUUCAAUGAGUAUCCAAUUUGCUACUUCGAACACACCAACUCGGCUACUUCCAUUUGUCACCAUUGUUUUACGUUUAAUUAUGCCACCACUUUCCAUGAAAUGUGUUAAAUUAGGUAACCUUACUUCCGAAGUUCUUGAUCUUCGCUUUUGUUGUCUACAAACUCUGUUAUGUGAUGAACGCUGUUCUUGUUCGAUUCUAUCUGAUUGUCUAUGUUUAUAUAUUUGUUGUGUAGUUUCUUCCUAUGAAAACUUUAUUCCUUCCUACGGUCUAUGUUUAUAUUUUAGUCAGAUGAACAUAUAAGAAUAUACCACUAAGAAGAUUUGAAGUCUUUAGUAGUGUUAGACAUAACAGAGUAGGACAUAACAUAGUAGGACAAAUGUAAUUUCUUACAAAAACAUGUGAAGAAGUACUGCAACAGAAAACAUGUUAUGAAUUACAUGUCGUUCGAUUAUGACCAGCUAAAUGACAUUUCGAGCAAACGUGAACUUUCCUUGGUCGGCUUCGAUCAAUAGCUAUCUCCAUUUGCCCUUUUAUUCUUGUAAUCUUCGGCCUGCCAGGUGGGAUCCUAACGAAUGGAGGCUUACAGACUGUCGAACCGAUUCUCUGUGGGAUAGGUGAUGAACCAUCCUUUGGCAUUAUGGACAUUGCAUAACCGCUCCGAAGAAAAUCUGUCAAGUAGUUUUUGUCGUUGAGUGUAAUCCUAGAAACUUUAGCAUGCUCUGCCGCAGCAAUAGCAUGAACGCAUGCUAUUUUCUCUAAAUCGAACAUCAUACAUGAACACCUUUUCGCAGUCAAAUUCACCACGUUUGUCGACACUCCAUUGGUCACUUCAUAUUGAUGCCUAUCGAUCUUUGCCUUAAUAAUACGGUCCUAUAAAGAGAAAAGUAUAUUGUUAGUAGUGAGUGCAACGUAUUACCAGUAUAUAGAUCCAAAUCACAAGUUACUUACAUGUAAAUGUUUUUCUAAACCUUUUGUCAGGGUUGUUGUCAUCAACAUCGCUUCUUUCCUCCUUUUAGCAUACCAACGUGUCAGCAUCAACCUCACUUCAUCAAGUAGCAUCACGAUCGGGUACUUUCUGGCACCAGUCAAGACUUUAUUUAGAGACUCUGCAAUGUUGCUAGUUGUGAAGUUGUACCUAUCGCCCGGAAAGUGUACCCGACUCCAGAAACGCACGUCAGCCCUAACCAAAUAGCUAUGCAAAUCGGGAUUUGUAUCUUUAAUCUGAUUGAAGUACACGUUAAAAUCUACGAGACGGUAAGCACUUGCAGCCUUUUUCACUAGUCCAUAUGUCUCACUACCUCUAAAUUUUAACAAUAUAUUCUUGUGAAGAUGGUAAGUACAUACACCCCGACUAGCCCGCGGGUAUACACGCCCUAUUGUUUUACCUAUUGAUUUAUGUCUAUCUGAUAUAAUAGACAGGCUUUCGUCAUCAGGAAUAACACAACUAAGUUGUCUAAAGAACCAUUCCCACGACACAUCGUUCUCCGUGUCAACUACCGCAUAUGCUAAGGGGAAAAUAUUGAAAUUCCCAUCUUGUGUUGUGGCAAGUAGAAGCGUACCUAGAUAUGGCCCUUUCAGAAAUGUUCCAUCCACAACUACAACUUUUCUCAUAAACUGAAAUCCAUGAAUGCUUGCGCCAAAUGCAAUGAAGACAAACUUAAAUCUAUCUUCUUCGUCAAUCGCAAGUCUAGUUAGAGUUCCUGGAUUUGCUUUCCUUAUCAGGUAUAAGUAUGAAGGAAGAUCUUCAUAUCCAUUUUCUGAAGUUCCUCUCACCAAAGUCCGGGCAAAUAAGAGUGUACGAUGUGCCUUCCAAUAGUCAACCUAUAAAGAGUUAAUAUUUUCUUAACAUCAAUCCUCCAAAAGUGAAUGAUAUUGAUCUAUGUUUUUUGAUUAUCUAACAUACCUUUAUUCCAUAUCUUAGGUUAAGUGCUUCUGCCACAUGACAUGGCAAUACGGAUUCACCAACACCACCAACAAAUUCCUUGUAAAGCUGUCCUAGUAUUGCAGGAGUCGCUUGCCUAUCACGUGCCGACCGUUCUGUGACUGAACAUGUAUGGGUACGAUUGUAUAUGCGAAUAUUAAAAACACAUGAAUCUCCUAUGGGUGAAGCUCGUACUCUCCAACUGCAGCUGGGUACCCAACAAUUAACAGUAUACAAGUCUGGCCUCGAUCUAUCAACAUCGAAGUCGAACUUUUGGAUUACACUAAGAAUCUUCAAUCUUUCCUCUAGUGCAUCCUUGGACUCAUACUGUUGGCCAACAGCUAGAUCCACACCACACAUUUCCAAUUUCAGAUAAGACUUCGCAUUCCAAUAAUUACCUGAUGAUAAAGAGAAUUUUUUAUUUCUUUUGCAAUUCCUCUGAGAUUCCUCCAUUUUUGCCUCACUCUUCACUUCAUCUCUAUCAGCUACAUCUUCCUCCUCUUCCUCGUCUCGUGAAUUCAAUCCAUAGUAUUCAUCUCCUGAGCUCGCUCCGUCUUCAUCAUCACAAUAAUCAAAUCUGGGAAAUUCAUCAUCAUCCUCCAAAUCUUAUUUGCGAAUUGCUUCAGAAAUGAUUGAUUCAACCUCCUCUGCUUCAUCCACGGAAUGUUCUGUUGAGCCAAAAUUUCGAUUGAACAUAUCUCCUACAGGUUUUUUCCCCUCCCUCUUCCGGUUGUAGUACUCCUCGUCUUCAAUAACUGUUUCCUCCUUCACUUCCCUACUCUCCUCACAUUUGCCCUUUCUUUUCCUGUCUUUCUUUUCUCGACAGUUACCACCACAAAUUAUUUCGACACAUAGCCUCACCGAUUCUUUUGAACACUGCCGGAGAUAUGCCUCGAAUUGACGGCCAUUCGUUACAAACACAGGUGGCGUAUCUGCAAAACUUUUGGACUUCAUAGGUAACAUAUAACUGAGCUUGAUUGACUCAGUCUUUGAAUCGAAACCAAAAUCUUCAUACACCAUGUCAUUAAAUGCUUCAAAACUACUACCAACACUAGCAGGUAAAAUCCUACUUCCUCUUUCUUCAUCAAUGCCAAAAUCCCAUCUUGAUUUAUGAAAUUGCCAGCUACCGCAAACUAGUUGAAUGUCUUCCAUCGCCUUUCGUCGAUGUGCUCUGAUUCGGAACACCGACAAAGUUUUUAACCUACAAACAACGAAGAAGACGCGUGUCCAUUGAAAUUGUAAUUACAGUUACAGUGGAAGGGUUUUUUUGGAAUUGCCAAUUUUAACGCUGUGACAGAUUUAACAUCAUACAUAACUCUGUCAAAAUAAAUCUAUCACGUCUAUAUAACAAAACAUUUUUAAAGGAUUGCGGUUUUACAGGUUUUAAGUCUACCCCCACAUUGUCUCGCUAACUCUGUCACCAAUCAGUCGUAAUACCACUACUCUAUCGUCACACACAUAAAGUCUACCACCACUUAUCUGACACACUGUGACACACUGUGACACGCUAGUAAUUAAUUUCUUGGAUAAGUCUGUCAAUUAUAUAAUAAAUCUAUCGUAAAAAAUUACUCUACUUUAACUACUCACAGACUUUGUUUCAAUUUUCAAACUCUACUACAUUUCUCUGUCUUUUCUUAACAACUCUAUCAUAACCUUUGUUAACUCUACCUAGCAAAUCUAUUUCCUUAAUUACUCUUUCAUUACUACAUAUUAGUCUGCCUAACAAAGCCAUUUUACAUAUUACUCUAUCACCACUAUAUACAACUCUACCAAAUAACUCAACCAAAACUACAUAAAUCUAUCACUCUACUUCAAUCUACUGUGUCUUAAACAUAGAUUUAUCAAAUAUAUCUGACAAAUCUGUCAUUAUUUAUUAAAACUACCAUACAAAUCUGUCACCUCCAUAAAUCUGUCGCCACUUCCAAAUUAUCCUCCCAAUUUCCCGCCUCUUACUUUUUCCCAUCUCCCGCCUUUUUCAUGGCAUUUCUAUAAAUUAUUGUAAUUACUUCUAAUGGCAUUUCUGUUAUUUUUUUUCUCGCCUAACACAUUUAUGAGGGCAAGAUUGCCUUUUAAAAAAGAUAUUACUGUAGCUUCAAAACCAUGCCAUUUUAGUUUUUUUCCCUCUUCACUAAGCCUUUUGAGUAACUCUCCCUUAAAAUUAUUUUGAAAUCAUUUGUUCUCAUGUUGGCUGGAUUUAGUUUUUUUUUAAAAAAAAAAUUUAAAUUUUAUGUAUUAUCGAUUUUUUGUUUUACUUUUUUGCCAUGAUCUCUCUUUUGUUUUACAAUAAAGUUUUAAAAAAAUUUGUUUUUGCUGACAUGUCAAAAUUUUGUUGGUGUUGUGACUUGUGCUUUAUAAGAUAAAGGAUAUCAAACUUUUAAAUUGACUCGAAUUAUAUAUCUACUAGGUCCGGACCCGCACGUACGUGCGGGGUUUUAUAUUUUGAAAGAUGCGGGUUGAAUAUUUGUUGUAUAACGUAUAGUGAAAACGGGUCUAACAUUUAGUGUUGGAAAACGUAUGUAUGGGGUUUUUUGUUUGAUUGGUUAAAAAGAUUGGAAAGAAUAAUUAGUAAGAAUUUAGUAAUUUUGAUUGGUGAAUGAUUGGAUAUCUUGGUUUGGUUUUGUUGAAUUAUUGAGAAAGUUGCAAAAUUGGUUGUAAUAUUUGUGAAACGAAAUUAUUAUUCUGAGUUAUAUUGUAUAUUUUUAUUUCUUAAACUAUAAAAUGAUUUGUUUGGUGAAAUAAAAUUAUUGUUUGUAAUUUGAUGCAUUUUUCAUAAAUAUAAAUGAUUAUAAUUCAGAUAAAGGCCCGUUAAUGAUUCCCCAUUUAAUUAGGAUUGGGCUGGAUUUUUGAUAGACCCAUUUAGAGAUCCAUGGUUUCGUUUUUGUUUUUUAAUACAGAAUCAAAUGUUUUUUUUUCUUUUGGACAGAAGUGAUUAUAGCACGAUUCUUUGUCUUAUGGUCUUCAAAGAAUGAAUCCCUAAAAAUCAUAAGCUUUUCCGAUUUCUCAAUCAAUGUCAAAAGUUUCGAUCAUCAAUCGAGUCUCCGUAUAUCUAAUUUCCAUAUCAUAUUCGGGAUUUCUUCAAAGAGGUAAGGUUUUUAGAGAUUCUUCUUCAAUCAAUCUAUUUUUAUAAUCUGUCGAUUCAUUUACAAUCUUUGUAAUUCUGUGUUUCAACAGAGAUCUUGGGCUAUCACUGUGGUUAUACGAACUUGCAUGAGUAAGUAUUUUCAAUUAUAUUUGUUGUUUAGAUCCGUAAUUGCAUGUCUAUAAUUUUUGUGUUUAUUCGGGUAACUCUAUCUAUUAUCAAAAUCUUCUAUGCGUUGGAGUGAAAAGAGGCUAUAAUUUGAUUUUGUAUAGAUUUAGGCAAUAGAUUUUGUUUCCUAAUAUUUAAUUUGUUCCUAAAUUGAUUUUAGAUAAUGAUUGGAUGAUGAUUUUGUAUGAGGAAGACGAUUUACAAAGUUAAGCUUUCUAUUACAGCUCUUACAUAACAAAACAAUGUCUUAAUAUAUAUGGUUCUGAUUUUACCAAAUACAAUGUUUACAGAGAAGGCAAAAUAUUCGAGUUGAUUUCAAUCUGAGAAGACAAAUUUGAUGUCCUUUAGUAGCCAUAACGGAAUCUGGAAGCUAUUUUAAAGGUUAGAUUAUGUAAUCUCUUUUUGAAAUUGUAGAGUUGUUAUAUAAAACAUAUAGUUGUCAAUCUAUACUUUUAAAUAUUGAUAUUGCUUAGCUUAACAUUUAUGAGUACAAUAUAGUUUUUAGAAAACUUACUUAAAUUUAGGGAAUAUACUAAUAAAACUUUUUAUGGAAAACAGAGUAAAAUAGAGAUUAAAUACAAAAGAAACAAAUAGGGUAGGUUUAAGUCGAUUACAAAAGGAGUUUUCCAUACCUCCAAGGAAGUUUUUAAAAAGACAGAGUUCAUCUCCUCUAAAAAUGUAAAAAGAAACAACAUAAACUAAGAGAAACUGAAGUAACCUUGCAAAUCCAAUCCCUCCUUCCUUCACAUGUUAGUUCUCAGCAACCAUCUCCAUCAUCACAUCCUCUUCGUCACUUGAUCCAUCGUCGAAUGAUCGCCUGCAAAAAAACAUAUGCUUUAUGUUUACCUAGGCUAUGAAUCUCAACCAAAAUAUAUGCCAAUUAUAAGAGAAUUUUUAACUUACAGAUAACUUGGAAUGUCAAGUUCAUAAAAGAUUGGAUCAAUGUAUCGACGUGAACAGCCAUAUUCACUCAUUAAAACAUUGUUUCCUAUAGAAAAAAAAAAAGAUUCAGUCAAUGUAACUAAUAAAAUUGUAAAGUCAGUUCAUAAAACUAUAAUAAGAACCAACCACAGUAAGAAGUUAUUCUCCAGAAACGCAAGACUGCAACAAUCUUAUCAUAGUUGUAGUUUAUUCCGCUUAUCUUCUGAGACCAAGUGUUCACAAAGAACUCACACCACUUUCCCACAGCUACGCAUUUUAUUGUCUCCCCCCUAGAUUAAAAGUUUAAUUUCCAAACAAAAAGAACAGUCAAUCCAAUUUCUUAAAGUAAUUUAAGAACAGACAUUGAAAUUCUGUCACAGAGGGUAAACUAAACUUACACAUUAUUUUUAAUUUUGAAGCAGACAUUUAUUGUACUUAAAUAAUAGUAUAGAUUUUUUGUAAUAACAAAGGGUAUUGUAGAGCAAGAUAACAUGGUUCUAUUUCACUGAUUCUUUGUAAAUACCCAGAUUUUUCUUCAAUAAUAAUGUCACGACUUGGCAUACCAAUGUGAAAAUCACCUGGAAUCAGCGCUGCGACCUCUGAAGCUGUUGGCACUGCAUAUGUUCUUCCAUCUUUGACACGGUCACUCACAAUUUUCAUGUGAAAGCUCUGCUCAGGAUUGGUAUUAAACCUAUCACGAGCUUGUCUAAAAUGAGCAACGUAUGGAUUAACUUCAUUUAGCAGCUUUAUUAUCGCCUCAAUUAUUUCUUUUCUCAGCUCUGGCUUCUUCUUAUAUUUCCCAGCAGAUUUUCCUUUACUGAAAUAUAAAUUUAGUUAGCAACGACACUAAUACAGACAGAAAAAAACACAAAGUCUGGAUACUGUAAUUGCUUGUUUUGAGUUAGAAAAUGUACCUUAAAAUUCCUGCUCUGUUUUCAACUUCAUUCUCGGUAUCAACUAUAUAUAGCUGACUAAACUUUGGAAAUUCACCUUCUCCAGGUUUCAAACUUCCCAUCUGGUGGUAAUUCUCUCCUUGAAUCUGAAACAUAUUAGGACCCCUUCCCGCUGUAAUAGAAUUAUCACAUUUACCCCCAAGAGAAGUAAACGAAAAAAUCAUGUUAUAUGCUCUGAUGUUCUCUCUAAAGUGUCUACUCAUGUCAUCAUCAUUGGUUAGCAAAGCAAAUAACAGUUCUGGUUGAUUAUGGAGGAAAGGCAGUUUCACAGAUCCUUUCAAACAACAUUGAGUAAAAAUUGGUUUACGAACUUUCUUAUGUCUGUUGAUGCGUUCUCCAUACCACAUAAUAGCACCGCAGUAGGAACAUGAGUAGACAGGAUCUCCAUGAUCUAGAUACUCUCACUACAAGAAAUAUCUACAUUAUUAGCAAGAGAGAAGAGCUAUUAUAUGUCAUCAAUAGCGUUUUCAUAAACGCUGUCUUAUGCCCCUGUUAUGGUAGACCCCCUAUAUACGAUAGCAUUUUUUUUUAUGUUAUGAUAGAGUAUUCUACCAUAGCAUUAGUGAAACGCUUUCAUAUAUCGACUUAUAAUAGCGAUAUAUAUAAGCUAUGAUCUAUAAUUUUUAUGAUGCUAUAAUAUUCAGUGCCAUAACUCUAAUUUUAUGCGGUUGUUUUUAGCUAUUUGCAUUUGGUGGACCUGUUUAAUUUUGAAAAUAUCCAAUAUAUAUAUAUAUAUAUAUAUAUAUAUAUAUAUAAUAAUAAUAAUAAUAAACAUCUAAAAGAUAUACAUCAUUUCAUAAACCAAAAAUCAAUUCAUACAUAACACAAGUCUCAAUCUAGUACUUAAACUAAUAUCCUAACUUUUAUAUACUACUUUUGCCAAGGAAGUUAUUGAUGAGAUCAUGCAAAAUCCUUACUUCGUUUUCUAGAUACUUGACUCGAUUCUUCAAGGAAGUUAGCUCAGUUUCAUAGGUUGUUGUAGUCUCUUCCUCUCUCUUAGGUUUUCAAAAAAUACUGCUACCUUUUCUCUUAGAUUUUCCUCAAAUACUGCAGUCUUCAUCUAUCUCACUGUCCUCAACGACGAGAUUCAUUAUAUCUUUUGUUAGAACAUGAAAUCAAACAAGUAAAAUUCAGGCUUCUUGACCACAAACUUAUUGAGUCACUUUAUUAGUAAACAAGUCUCUUUACUGACCUGAAAACUCAACCUGCGACUGAGACAUAUCUUUAGCCUGAGAAGAGACUAAUUCCAUUUCCUUUGUACCUUUACUUUCUCCAAGAAACUCAAGACCAUCACUUGUAUCCAACAUCGGUGACUCAUAGACAUAACUCGAAAACCACUUACUUAGAUCAGGAACUUCUGAGAAUUCUGAAAACAUAAGUGAAAAAGAACCCCAUAAGUAAAAUCAAUGCAGUUAAAACAAUAAGAUAUACAGAUCUUCCCAACCAACCAAGCAAAUUCAGAAAACAGAUUCCAAGAAAAUGAGUUACCUUCACUAUCAUCCAUCUCUCAAUUCUUUCUAUUCGCUCCUCUUUCACCUUGGUAUCCUCUACACUGUCUUUGUCUUGAGUGCUUCCGUUAGUCUUUUUCUUUGGCUGCCCGACCUCCACUUUCUAUCUCUUUAAGAGCACUGAUCAAAUACAAAGUUGCAAUCAAAGACAAAGAAUGUGACUAUGGUCGUUUAGUUGCAAUGACAAUGUAUACCAGCCAUACCAUAUACUGUUAACCGUUGACCAAGGAAACAAUCAGUUUUGUAAAGUUAAAGUUAUAUCAAAGAGCAAGAUAAAGUUAAAGUUUUGUAUGAGAGUUAAAACUCUAGCAAUCCGAAAUCAUAGACCAACACAACAAUCAAUUUGAAACACAUACAGAGACAAUACUUUAUGCCAAUUAAACAUAACAGUCUACUCUACUUAGGAUCAUACUUUCAUCAUCAGCUUAAUGGUCCAUAGAGGCAGAUUAUUACACUUUCAUCUACUUAGGAUAAUACAUUCUCAGUUACUAUACCCAAUGAAACCUUGUAAAUAAAAACAAAGAGACUCUUUACUAUAAAUAA